UAAAGCUAAAGACUACUUCCAAUUAAUGAAAAAAGAAUAUGGUAUUGAACCAUCAAUCAAGCACUAUGGUUGUAUGGUCGAUAUUCUUGGUCGAGCAGGACUAGUUGAAGAAGCAGACGAGGUUAUAAGAAGUAUGAAAAUGGAACCUGAUGCUGUCAUAUGGUGUUCUUUGUUAUCGGCUUGUAGGAGCCACGGGAACAUGGAGUUGGCCAGAUGGUCAGCUGAGAAUUUGCUUGAGUUGGAUCCAAAUGAAAGCAGUGGCUAUGUAUUGAUGGCAAAUAUGUAUGCAGCCUCGGGCCAAUUUGCAGAAGCUAUUGAUGAAAGGAUAUCAAUGAAGGAUAAACAUAUAGCGAAAGAACCGGGAUGCAGUUCAGUAGAAGUUAAUGGUGAAGUUCAUGAGUUUGCUUCUGGUAGGAAGUUAGAUUCUGAGUUCCAUGAUAUAUAUUCUUUGAUGCACUAAACAGAAUUAGGAACUUAUAGUCUACUUAGAGCCAUUGUACACAUAAAACAACAUCAUUUGUCACACACCUUUUAUGAAAUGUCCGCAGAACUAAGAGACUGCAAAUUUAGAGUAAAUUUCAUGUCAAUCAAAAAACUGAUCAAUAGGAAAACCAUCUAACAGAUUAAUUAACCGACUUAAACUAGACCAACUUCCACUAACUCUAGUCUAACUACCCAUAACAGAUUACAGCUAAGGCACAGCUGUACUAGUCGUUAAUUCCUCAACACCCUCCCUUAAGCUAGGUGUUAUGAACAGAUUCUUCACGCCUAGUUUGUUCAUUAAGUAGGAAAGAUGUACGUGAGUAAGUCCCUUGGUAAGCACAUCUGCGAGUUGCUCAGAGGAAAAUAGAUGCAGAAGAUGCACAACGCCUAGCAUGCUCAUAGCAACACUUGAUGAUUGCAUGUAGAUCUAUUUUCUCUCUCAUUGAUGAAUAAGUACCGCUUAAAGAUUCAACAACUUUCCCUUCUCGUCUCUCGACUUGAACAAAGGGACCUUACAAAAUUACACUGUUCGUAGUGACUUUUAAAGAUCGUUAGCAUUAUCUUACAGAGAAAAUUAUUUUUGCGAAAAUUGAUGAUGUAAGUGUAAUACUAAUAUUAGUAAUAGGUAUUUGAAAAUGAUAAUUAAAUAAGAAAUAAAUAAAGCUAAAUUUUGUGCUAAACUCUCAAAUCAUCCAAUCAAACGACUUCUAAUGAUUCCUCCCCUCUCCAAUACUUCCCUUCCCUCAUGAAUACAUCCAUCCUCUCUCUGAUACAUUCCUAUCCUAUGUAUCCGGAUGUCCUAUCCCCUCGCAGAUACAUCCCUCCCCUCUCGGAUUCAUCUCUCUCCAAUGUAUUUGCAUGUCUGCUGAUGUAUCCAGAAGUCCAAUGAUGCAAUCAGAAGUCUGGUGAUGUAUCCAGAUUCCAUAAAUUUUAAGGGAUUCUUGUAAUUUGGAAAUAGUAGGGAAAUAAUGUAAUUAACACAUAACACUAUGUGAUUUAUGUAAAUUAUAUUAAAUAUAUUGGGUUGGAUCCAAUUUGGGUAAAUACUUUGCCUGAUGGGUCCAAUUUAUGUAGUUUUCCAUAAAAAAUUAUGUCAAUUUGAUUGGGGGUACGAGAAUCAAACCAACUAAUAUUCGAUAUAAAAUUUGUAUUUGUAUAUUUAAAAUAAAAUUCACAUUAUUAAGAAACUCUAUAAAAUUUCUAUAAAUCAUAAUAGUUAACAAUUUAAAAGAUUUAGAAAAUAUUUGAAAAGAUCGUGAUCCAAAAUUAAUUAUUUUUAGACUCUUCAACUAAUAAUUAGAACAUAUAAAUUGAAAAAUCAUUGAUAUGGAUUCCUUUCCUGGUUGGAUCCUAUGCGGUUCAAUAUAAAUUAGUUGAACUUAAUAUAAAAAUCAAACGUCGAAUAUUUUUAGAUGGGUUAAGAAAGUGCGCACAGCUUGUUUUAAUAAAAUAGUUUUUAUUUAAUGUGGUUAAUUUAUUAGUUAAUUAUUUCACAUGUGCAAGAAGCGUUGACUUCACGUACAGGAAUUUUUAUUCCCUUGUCUUUUUUUUACUAAUCCAAUUUUGACUUUUUAUUUGUCAGUUUUGACAAAAUAAGAAAAGACAAUAUUUUUAUCUAUUAUACCCUCAAUUUAUUUUGAAAGUUAAUGUUUCUGAAAGAAGUAUAGCCUUUUUAAUGAGUAAAUUUAUUUUGAAAUUUUAUUUAUUAAUAUGGGUAAAAUGAUAAACUCACUAUAUCAAUUUCUACCUCUGUCCAAUUUUAAUUGUUAUAGUUUUCCUUUUUGGAAUCAAACGAUAAUAAUUUUGACUAAUAUUUUAUGAUGUAUUUUUUCAUCGUAUUGAUAUGGAAAAAGUUGGAAUUUAUAGUACUUUUUAUAUAGUUUUUGAAUAUCUAUUUUUUUUGUUUAAAAUAUUAAAUUAAUGUAAUCUAAUUUAACUUUGGAAAUUAGUCAAAUCGACUUUUGAAAAGCGCAACAUAACAAUUAAAAAUGGACAAAGGGAAUAUUUAUUUUCUUAAUAAGUGUGUCAAGUAAAAAAUGGACAAAUAAAUAGAAAUGAAAAGAGUAUUUAUUAAUGAAAGAUCACGCUUUCACACGUUAUGUCAUAGAAAUAAUUUUGAUACAAUUAAAAUGUACAUGUUUAGAAAUUUCAUAGAGAUUCUAUAGAUUAUAAUAGUUAACAAUUAAAUAUAGUUAAAAAAAUAGAUCUAAAAAAAUUGUUUUUAAAUUCUCAAAUAAUAACCAAGACAUAUAAAUCAAAUCAUAUCCACAUCAAUGAUGCAAAUUUUAAUAAAGUAUUCACAUGUAAUGCUGUUAAUUAAUUAAUUAUAUGAUCGAUGUGCAAGAAGAGUUGACUUCUUGUACAAGAUAUUCUCCAACUGAAAAGAAUAUUGUUGGUACGUGUGGAUAAUUGUUACAAUUUAAACGAUUGAAUCGUGUGGACACCUACUUUAUUUUUUAAAUAGGAGAAUCUUUACUAUUUACGGAAUUAAAAUUAAAUUCGAAUCAUCACUUAUUUAAUUAAGAAUAAAGCUAUAAUUUAUCAACUUAGAAAAUUACAUGGUCUUUGAAAAACAUUUGAAUUUCUGUUUAGGAACUAGUCUAAACAGGUACAAAAUUUUUUAAGAGAGUAUAACAUUCUUUUUUAAUUUUUUUUUAUAAUUAUGUAUUGGAUAUUUAUAUUGUAAUUUGAUGAAAUUUGAAUUCACACAUUGCUGAAAACACUUGUUUUUGGGUAGAGCUCUAAUAGGAUUUUUUUUGAAUUCCUAGAAGUAAAAAUCUGAUAUCCUUGAUUAAAAAUGUAAAAUUUCAAAUCAUUCCAUCGCAAUUCAUACUAAUUCUCGAUAUAAUUAAUUCUUUUUCCGAAUAUUAGAUUAUUUAUUGAUAACAGUUUUAAAAAAAUAAAUUAAGCCAUUACCAAAGUUGUGAACCCUUAAUGUGAGGGGUUAGGCUUGACUCUGACUAUGUCUAUUAAUUAAAAAAAAAAGGCGUUGGUUAUACUAGUUAUAAUCAAUUUCAAUAAUAUCUUCUAUUGAAAUAAUAAUUCAAAAAUUGGGAUAAAAUAAAAUUAUUAAAUAAUUUCUAUCUUCCUCCACGGUGCUGAAUCUUUAAUUGGACACUAUAAUUAAGUCCUAAUUAUUAGGAUCCUAAUAUCUCGUUUCAUAUCCUUGACGACAUAAUUUAAGUUUUAAAUAUAUUGAAAAUAAAUUAUACAAAUUUUGAGUAGUUCUAUUGGCAAAAAAAUUAAUAAUAUUUCUUGAUAAUUGAUAUGGUCCUAUGUAGGGCAAAAAUAUUGGAAAAUCGAAUCGAACUAGUUUGGUUCUUAGAUUUUUUGGUUCAGUGCUUGUAUUUUUUUGAGAAAAUGGCCAAAUGAUCCCCCAACGUAUUACCGGAUUUCCAACUACACACCUAUUCUCCGUGGGAGUCCUAUUCCCCCCCUGAACUACUUUUAAAUGGAAUAAAUAACCCCUUAAGUGUUGAGUUGGCAUGAAGAGUGUAUUUCACUCUCUUUUGAGAGAGUGAGUUGCCUAUUAUUUUUUUUAAUUUUCCAUUUUUUUUCUUAAUUUUCUUUUUUCUUUCUCUUUCUUCUUAUUUAUCUAUACAAAACAUUUUUUCACCAUUAUCAUUGUUGAAACUUUUUCAAUGGAUGUUUGAAAUAAAAAUUAUCAACAACAAUGCAUUUAAUGAAUAAAUAAUUUUUCAAUAAACUUAUUUAGAACAUAUCUAACAAAUUUUUUUUUCUUUUUAAAAAAAACAUACCCAUUAAUUAACUUUUUUUAAAGUGAUGGAUUCAAGAGUAACAAAAUCAAAGUGAAGUAGUUGUAUAUUUAAAAAAUAUUUUCAAACUUAAUAAAAGAAACUAUAACAAAACAAUUUCUUCUACAUUUUGAAAGAAGGAUCCUACAUGUUCUCCUAAAAUCCAUGAAGAAUCAAAAUCAAAAACUCAAAUUAUAAAUUAAUCAUGAAAAUUUUAGAGGGGGAAAUAAUAAAGAAUGGAGAAGAGAGAGAGAGAGAGGGGUUUCUCAAAUUGGUGUUACAAAUUGAUCUUCUCAUAUGCGAUUAUUUUGAGUUGUUGGUGGAAUCUUCAAGGGAUGAAUCUGAUCUCGAAUGUUCAUGACCCAUUUAAUGUGUAUCUGAAAUUGUCUAAGGAAGAAAAUCGAACGAAAUGUAAAAAAAUGUGGAAAAUUGUUGAAUUAGUUGGAUGAAAGAUUUGAUUAAUUAGGAUCGCUAUCUUCUAGACUCUAGAGAUUCGGAGUAGAUGAAAAGGUGAGUUGAAUUUUCGUUUUUAUAAAAUGUUAGAGAUAUAGAAAUUUAUUGAGGUAAAAAAUGGUGUUUAAUAUAGUUAGGGUUGAAAAAAUGAUUGGGGAAGAAAGAAAGAAGAAGAAUGAGAAUUUUUUUUAAAAAAAAAUCAUUAAAUGGUGAAAGACACAUGUCAAGUGCGUGUAUUUCACCAUAAGACAGAUGCCUAGUAAUGACAUUUCAGGGAGGAAAUUGUCACGCCCUAAGCCUACACCCCGGACGUGGCCCGCACUCGAAGACCAUUGCUGGCCCCAAGCGAACCCUUGGUCUGGCUUUCUUAACUCAGCGGAAACCUAACUCAACAAAAUAACUCCAUGCAAUGCAAGGACAUAAAAACAACUUAACUGAUAAAAUAUGGCCCAAAAAGGCAACUUGGAUCUCAAAAUAGAAUAUUUACAUAUAUACAUAGAUGAGAGAUUCAAUGCUAACUGACUGACUGUCUAUGAAGCCUCUAAAAUACUAAGAUGAAUGUUGGGACAGACCCCGCAACAUCCUAACAAAACAAAACUAAGAACACAAAAUAACAGAGUCCUCCAGAAAACAAGGAGGCUCACCACUGACUCUGGAGUGCUUAGCUGGAUCAACGGCGUGCUGGAUGCUGAUCCUGGGUACCUGCGUCUGCAUCAUAAUAAGAUGCAGGUCAACUGGUAUCAUCAGUACAUGGAAUGUACAAGUAUGCGAGCUGGAAAGCUAAACAACAACUUAAGCUUGAGAGGAGUACAAAGGAACUCUUACCCUGGCUCUGUUCGACUCAUGGAUAACCGAACUCAAUAUAAAGCAAUAAGAUACAUGCAGUAUAUAUAAAACCUGUAAAACAAUGUAAACAACUUAGCUCAUUAAUGAUAAAACAAUAACAAACUUAACUUUACUUAUAUAAAGUUAUAUAACUUUUGUGGGAAAUUCUUUAACCGACAACCAGCACUAUGAGCCCUAGUGAUGAUACAACAUUUUACCUUAUGUUGCCUAAGGACCAUCCUAUACCUUGCCGUGAUAUAGGACCUUACUUUACUUAGUAGAUCCACUAGCUUAACUUACGUGAUCAUCUAAAAAGUAUGACCCGUUAAAUCCCAUGUUUGGCUACAUGGUUCUUAUAGAGAGUUGAGUUAAUAUGAACUCGUGUCCCCAAUUCGGUGCUCAAGACUACUCCCAAAAUAUACUUUAGCUCACAAGUGUUUUAAACACAUCUUUCUUUAGUUUGAGAUAAUUGCUCAAAGCUUAGCCCAAAGGCUCUCUUGGAAAGCAUAGUUCCUUUCUUACUCAAAUGUAAAACAUUUAUAAAUUUCUUUGGGAAUACUUCGUUCCCUAAUAACUUUAGUCUUUACUUAACUUGAAACUUGAGCCUUAAAACGAAGUUAAAACGUUUAACAAAGACUCUUAGAAAACUUUAAAGACUUGCUUAGACUUACUUCUUAACUUCUAAGAUUGACUCUAACUUCACUUGACUUUGAUCCAAACUUUCCUCGAAUUGGAUUAUGAAUUCAAGGGUAAUGAUCUCAUGUUUGUGGAUGAGUUCUUGACGUUUAGACGUACCUUGGAGUGUUGAAAACAACUAUAAAACAUAGGUACAUUACCAAGGCACAUUCAUGAAAAAGUGGGGAAUAAAAGGGAGGACUUGGCGUCCUUGGCGCUCUGAGAGGCGCGGAGCGCCAGACUUCAGACUUCAGAGAGGCCUGCUGGGCGCUCUGCUAGGCGCACCGCCCCAAGGGCUGGACUUCAGAGUCCCUUUUGGGGCGCGCUGGCCAGCGCGACACCCCAACCCUUUUUCCCAAAAACUCGACUUUUCUCCUUAAUUUCUCCAACUCUAAACCUUCUAAACUUCCAAGUUUCCAGUCCCAAACACUUAGAAUCAUAAAUCCUCUUACUAUACAAUAGAUUCAACUCAGAAUUUCAACCGGAAACAUGAACCAAGACAACAAGAAAACUUCAACAACACAACCAAUCUUUUCUCGGAAUUAAAAACGAGUUUGGCGUGUGGGGGAAAGAACCAACCCAACACUAUGAUCUCAGAUACCUUAAUAGGGAUCACCCCCGAUGAAACCACGACGAUCUUUCUUUGCUUGUUCUUCUCUUUCUCCUCUUCACUCACAAACCCUCACUCUCACUCUUUUAAAAGGGAAAAACUGAUCUAAAAAUCUGUCUAAACCCUUAAUAUAACCAAAAGAAUUGGUUAGGGAAAAGACCAAAAUACCCUUACAAAUUCGGGUGACUUCUCUAUGCCAACAACCCAACUUUCGAAGGGCAUAACUCACUCAUACGAACUUGGAAUCGAGAAAACUCGGUGGCAUUGGAAAGACCAUUCCACAAACUUUGCAAACAUAACUGGAACUACACCUAAAUCAUCCUGAUCUAGGAGUUAUGACUAUUCAAAGUUGACCAAAAUAUCACUUUUUCCCAUACUUAACCAAAUUUUCCAGAUUUUUAAAUUCUAUCCAAAAAUGACUAUUUUCGAGUUUUAAGCUUCUUCCUAGUUAUCAACGUGCAGAUGUCACAAUAUCUCCCCCUUGGGAACAUUCGUCCUCGAAUGAGGUUACUCUUACAAGGAUAAGGGUGUAACAUCAAUUUAAACACCCAACAAGCAAUCAUGCAAACAACAACAACAACAAUAUGCUCACUACAAAUUAAAGAGCACUAAGAAGGAAAUUAGUACCUUGAUCUGCAUUUCCAUCAGAUUCAAAAAGAUAUGGGUAUCUCUACUUCAUGUCCUUUUCGGCUUCCCAAGUAGCUUUCUCAACAAAUUGGUUCCUCCAAAGGACCUUGACUGAGGCUAUAUCCUUUGUUCUCAAUCUGCGAACUUGGUGAUCUAGAAUUUGAACAAGAAUCUCCUCAUAAGAAAAGUUAUCCGUGAUCCUAAUAUUCUCAGUAGGCAGGAUCAAUGAAGGAUCGCAUAUUCACUUCUUCAACAUGGAGAUGUGAAAUACCGGAUGAACCGCUGCUAGUUCCUGUGGUAACUCCAACUCAUAAGCAACAUUGUCAAUCCUCUUGGCUAUGCAGUAAGGUCCAAUAUACCGGGGACUAAGUUUCCCCUUCUUACCAAACCUCAUAACCCCUUUCAUGGGUGAAACUUUCAAAUACACCCAAUCAUAUACUUCAAACUCUAAUGCCCUUCUCCUAACAUCUGUGUAGGAUUUUUGACGACUUACUCAGUCUGAGGAUUAAAGGCAGUACUUAAGUUCACCUUGGAACCCAAGCCCUUCUGAAAAGAUUUUCAGAACUGUGUAGUAAACUGUGCACCUCUAUCUGAAAUAAUAGAGAUUGGCACCCCAUGAAGUCUCACUAUCUCUUGAAUAUAUAACUUGGCAUAAUUUUCUGCUGAAAGGGUAGUCUUUACCGGUAGAAAAUGGGCGGAUUUUAUCAUUCUGUCGACAAUCACCCAAAUAGAAUCAUAUUGUCUACCAGACCUUGGCAACCCUGUGAUGAAAUCCAUAUUGAUCAUCUCCUACUUCCAUUCCGAAAGUUCUAUCCUCUGAUCCAAACCACCGGGCCUUUGGUGUUCAACUUUCACUUGUUGGCAAUUUGGACAUUUAGCAACAAAUUCAGCAAUGCCCUUCUUCAUGCCAUUCCACCAAUAAACUUCUCUCAAGUCUCGAUACAUCUUUGUGGAACCCGGAUGAAUGGAAUAUCUGGAGCUAUGGGCUUCUUUCAUAAUCCUCUCUUGGAGUCCAUCUACCAUAGGUACGCACAAUCUACCUUGAUAUCUCAAACAUCAUCUCCCCCUUGUUCAAAAUCUAAUACUCUUUGCUUUUGAACAUUUGCCUUCAACUCAAGAAAAAUGGGAUCUUGAUCUUGUUUCUCUUUCACUUCUGACACUAAUGAUGACUCGGACCCACUCGCCACCACUAUUCCUCCAUAAUGGUGCACAUCUUUUGCUAACUCUCUCUUUCCUUCUUCAAUAUGGGCGGUGAUACCCAUAGACAACCUGCUUAAAGAAUCAGCAACAACAUUAGCCUUACCUGGGUGGUAAAGAAUACUCAGGUCAUAAUCCUUGAGUAAUUCUAACCACUUCCUUUGUCUGAGAUUAAGCAUAUAUUGAAGACUCUUGUGAUCAGUGAAUAUAUCAACAUGCACACCAUACAAGUAAUGACACCAUAUCUUCAAAGCGAACACUACAGGAGCCAACUCUAAGUCAUGGGUUGGGUAAUUCAUCUCAUGAACUUUCAACUGUCUCGAGGCAUAAGCUAUAACCUUGUCGUUAUGCAUCAAUACACAACUCAAACCAACUCUAGAUGCAUCACAAUACACCACAAAGCCUUGUGUACCUUCUAGUAAGGUCAAUACUGGGCAGUAGUUAACCUCUUUUUCAAUUCCUGAAAGCUUAGCAGCCAGCUCUAAGUCAUGGGUUGGGUAGUUUUUCUCAUGAACCUUCAACUGUCUGGAGGCAUAAACUAUAACCUUGCCAUUCUGCAUUAAUACACAACCCAAACCAACUCUAGAUGCAUCACAAUACACCACAAAACCUUGAGUACCUUCUGGUAAGGUCAAAUUUGGAGCAGUAAUCAACCUCUUUUUCAAUUCCUGAAACCUUUUCUCACAAGCUUUAGACCAUUGAAAUUUCACUGUCUUAUAAGUCAAUUUGGUCAAAGGAGAUGCAAUAGACGAGAACCCCUCUACAAACCUUCUAUAAUAGCCAGCUAAACCCAAGAAACUCCUAAUAUCAGUUGGAGAUGUGGGUCUAGGACAAUUUUGCACUGCCUCAAUUUUCUGAGUAUCAACUUUAAUUCCAUCACCAGACACAAUGUGGCCUAAGAAUGCCACGGACUCAAGCCAAAACUCACACUCGGAGAACAUGGCAUACAACUCUUUAUCUUUCAAAGUCUGAAGAACAAUUCUGAGGUGACUAGCAUGAUCUUCUUCAUUUCUUGAAUAGAUUAGUAUGUCAUCAAUGAAGACGAUAACAAACAUAUCUAAAUAAGGUUUGAAGACUCUAUUCAUAAGGUCCAUGAAAGUUGCUGGUGCAUUGGUCAAACCAAAAGACAUGACCAAAAACUCAUAAUGACCAUAUCUAGUCCUGAAUAUUGUAUUUGGAAUAUCACAUUCCCUUACUCUUAAUUGAUGAUAAACCGAUCUGAGGUCAAUUUUCGAAAAAUAAGUGGCACCCUGAAGCUGAUCGAAAAGAUCGUCAAUCCUCGAAAGAGGGUACUUAUUAUUGAUUGUAACCUUAUUCAUCUGACGAUAGUCUAUACACAUUCUAAGGGAACCAUCUUUCUUUCUCAUAGAUAAGACCGGAGCGCCCCAAGGUGAGACACUUGGUCGAAUGAAACCCUUAUCUAAGAGAUCUUUCAACUCUACUGGUGCCAUUCUAUAAGGCGGAAUAGAGAUCGGAUGAGUAUCUAGAAUGAGGUCUAUGCUGAAAUCUAUUUCUCUCUCAAGAGGAAUUUCGGGUAGGUCAUUAGGAAAAACUUCUAGAAUCUCUCUUACUAUAGGAACUUACUGAAAAUGAGGUAUGUCAACACUAGAGUCAUUAACUCGGACUAAGUGAUAGAUACAACCCUACGAAACUAACUUUAUCGCCUUAAGGUACAAAAUGAAACGACCCUUAGGUGCUGAACUACAACUCCACUCUAUGACUGGCUCAUUCGAAAACUGAAACUUGACCACUCGAGUUAUAUAGUCUAAUGAUGCAUAACAGGCAUGAAGCCAAUCCAUACCUAAAAUGACAUCAAAAUCUACCAUGUUUAACUCAACCAAAUCAGCCAUGGUGUUCUUGUGAUUGAUCGAAAAAGGACAAUCACGAUAAACUCUUUCUGCUAGAAUAGACUCCCGGACAGGUGUAGAAACACAAAAGGGUUCACAAAGUCUUUCAGGAAGAACAUCAAACUUACUUGCAACAUAAGGAGUUACAAAAGAUAAACUUGCUCCUGGGUCUGGCAAAGCAUACAUACCAAAAGCAAAGACUUUGAUCAUACCAGUGACAACAUUUGGAGAGUUCUCUUGCUCAUGGCGACUGGUGAUUACAUAGAGGCGGUUUACUCUUCCACCGGUACCAGAAGUAGCUCCUCUAGGUGCUACCCUGUUUGGGGGAGCGAUUGAUGAAGAUUGGGCCCUACUGCCUAGAUUUCCACUACCUUGCUUAUCCUUAGGGCACUCCUUCAUGAAGUGACCCUCUUGCCCACACUUAAAACAACCUGUCUGACCAUCACGACAUUUACUCGGGUGGGUUCUACCACAUCUAGCACAUGCAAGAAUCAAGCUAUCUCUUUGUGCCACACUACCCGAAGAUUGUGCAGGUCUAGCCUUGAAGCCCUUUGAAUUUUGGCCAUUAUAUUCACCUCUAUAUCAGGGUGCAGGUGCCUUAGUAGAUGAUGUAGCAGGUCCCUUUUGCCUUUGCUGAAAGCAUGAACGAUUGGCAUUACAUUUCUGCUGCCCGGACUUAUUAUCGAUCUUAGCUCUUUUAUUUCUGAACUCUUCCCCGUCCCUCAGCUUUUCUUCCUCAACCUGAUGCACAUAAACCAUCAACCUUGAUAUGUCCAUGCCCCCGAUAAGCAUUGCCGCCCUACCUUCCUUACUCAAAAGACGAAACAACCCAGCUACAAACAAGCUCAUUCUACUCCUCAUGUCCGCAACCAUCUCCGGAGCAUAACGGGAGAGUUGAGUGAACUUCAACACAUACUCAUGAACACUCAAAGAAUCCCUCUUAAGCGUGAGGAACUCACGUACCUUGGCCUCUUUCAAUUCUCGAGGAAAGAAAUGCCCCAAGAAAGAUUCCUCAAAACAGGCCCAACUCGCAGGUGGUGUAUCCUCAGCUCUGCUCCCUUUUGCAUUGGUCGAACCGAGUUCUAGCAACAUCCUUCAAUUGAUAUGUAGCUAAUUCAACCUGUUCAGUGUCUACCACAAGCAUCGCAUCAAAAAUCUUUUUCAGUUCCUCAAUGAAGUUCUCUGGAUCUUCAGUAGUGUUCGAACCCAUGAAACUCUGAGGAUUCAUCCCCAAAAACUCACGAAUCCUUAAAGUGUCAUCUCCUUCAUGUCGAGCUCCCCUCUGCUGACCAAUCUGAUUAGUUACAGCUUGACUCAGUAUCAUCAUUGCUUCUCUAAACUCAGCAUUAGAAACUUCCUGUUGAUGUUGCACUCCCGGUGCAUAAGGUAACUCUUGCUCCUCAACAUAACGUCUAGGAAGACGCCUUCUGCCAACUCUUCGUAGAGGCAUGAUUAUCUGAAACAUGCACAAGCAUGAAUUAGAACGAAAAUUUUUAGAGAUGAGUGUGAAAGAAGUGAGAAAUCUUCCUAAAUGUUGCAACCUCCAAAUAAUAGAUGUCGCGCGGUUCACACCGAUAACUAGGACUCUACAGACAUGGCUUCAUAGACUCCCUAGGACUCUUGAACUCUGUGCUCUGAUACCAAGUUUAUCAUUCCUCGAGCCUACACCCCGGACAUGGCCGGCACUCGAAGACCAUUGCUGGCCCCAAGCGAACCCUUGGCCUGACUUUCUUAACUCAGCAGAAACCUAACUCAACAGAAUAACUCCAUGCAAUGCAAAGACAUAAAAACAACUUAACUGAUAAAAUCAGGCCCAAAAAGGCAACUCAGGUCUCAAAUUAGAAUAUUUACAUAUAUACAUAGAUGAGAGAUUCAAUGCUAACUGACUGACUGUCUAUGAAGCCUCUAAAAUACUGAGAUGGAUGUUGGGACAGACCCCGCAACAUCCUAACAAAACAAAACUAAGAACACAAAAUAGCAGAGUCCUCAGGAAAACAAGGAGGCUCACCACUGACUCUGGAGUGCUUAGCUGGAUCAACGGCGUGCUGGAUGCUGAUCCUGGGUACCUGCGUCUGCAUUAUAAUAAGAUGCAGGCUAACUGGCAUCAGUACAUUGAAUGUAUGAGUAUGUGAGAUGGAAAGCUAAACAACAACUUAUGCUUGAGAGGAGUACAAAGGAACUCUUACCCUGGUUCUGUUCGACUCAUGGAUAACCGAACUCAAUAUAAAGCAAUAAGAUACAUGCAAUAUAUAUAAAACUUGUAAAAACAUUGUAAACAACUUAGCUCGUUAAUGAUAAAACAAUAACAAACUCAACCUUACUUAUAUAAAAGUAAUAUAACUUUUGUGGGAGAUUCUUUAACCGACAAUCACCACUAUGAGCCCUAGUGAUGAUACAACGUUUUACCUCACGCUGCCCAAGGACAAUCCUAUACCUUUCCGUUAUAUAGGACCUUACUUAGUGGAUCCACUAGCUUAACUUACGUGAUCAUCUAAAAAGUAUGACCCGUUAAAUCCCAUGUUUGGCUACAUGGUUCUUAUGGAGAGUUGAGUUAAUAUGAACUCGUGUCCCCAAUUUGGUGCUCAAGACUGCUCCUAAAAUAUACUUUAUCUCACAAGUGUUUUAAACACAUCUUUCUUUAGUUUGAGAUAAUUGCUCAAAGCUUAGCCCAAAGCUCUCUUGGAAAACAUAGUUCCUUUCUUACUCAAAUGUAAAACAUUUUUAACUUCUUUGAGAAUACUUAGUUCCCUAAUAACUUUUGAGAAAUGAACAUGAUUCUACACUCUUGGCUUAACUUGAAACUCGAUAGUCUUUGCUUAACUUGAAACUCGAUACUCUUAACUUAACUUGAAACUUGAGCCUUAAAACGAAGUUAAAACGUUUAACAAAGACUCUUGAAAAACUUUAAAGACUUGCUUGGACUUACUUCUUAACUUCUAAAAUUGACUCUAACUUCACUUGACUUUGAUCCAAACUUUCCUCGAAUUGGAUUAUGAAUUCAAGGGUAAUGGUCUCAUAUUUAUGGAUGAGUUCUUGACGUUUAGACGUACCUUGGAGUGUUGAAAACAACUAUAAAACAUAGGUACAUUACCAAGGAACAUGCAUGAAAAAAUGGGGAAUAAAAGGGAGGACUUGGCUUCCUUGGCGCUUUGAGAGGCCCGGAGCGCCAGACUUCAGACUUCAGAGAGGCCUACUGGACGCUCUGCUAGGCGCGCCGCCCCAAGGGCUGGACUUCAGAGUCCCUUUUGGGGCACGCUGGCUGGCGCGACGUCCCAGCCCUUUUUCCCGAAAACUCAACUUUUCUUCUUAGUUUCUCCAACUCUAAACCUUCUAAACUUCCAAGUUUCCAGUCCUAAACACUUAGAAUCAUAAAUCCCCUUACUAUACAAUAGAUUCAACUCGGAAUUUCAACCGGAAACAUGAACCAAGACAACAAGAAACUUCAACAACAUAACUAACAACUUCAACAAACACAACCAACAACUUCAACAAACACAACCAAUCUUUUCUCGAAAUUAAAACGAGUUUGGAGUGUGGGGGAAAGAACCAACCCAACACUAUGAUCUCAUAUACCUUAAUAGGGAUCACCUCCGAUGAAAAACCACGACGAUCUUUCUUGCUUGUUCUUCUCGUUUUCCUCUUCACUCACAAACCCUCACUCUUACUCUUUUAAAAAGGGAAAAACUGAUCUAAAAAUCUGUCUAAACCCUUAAUAUAACCAAAAGAAUUGGUUAGGGAAAAGACCAAAAUACCCUUACAAAUUCGGGUGAUUUCUCUAUGCCAACAGCUCAACUUCCAAAGGGCAUAACUCACUCAAACGAACUCAGAAUCGAGUAAACUCGGUGGCGUUGGUAAGAACAUUCCACAAGCUUUGCAAACAUAACUGGAACUACACCUAAAUCAUCUUGAGCUAGGAGUUAUGACUAUUUAAAGUUGACCAAAAACUCACUUCUUCCCAUAGCCAAAUUUUCCAGGUUUUUAAAUUCUUUCCAAAAAUUACUAUUUCCGAUUUUUAAGCUUCUUCCUAGUUAUCAACGUGCAAGAUAUCACAAUAUCUUCCCCUUGGGAACAUUUGUCCUCGAAUGAGGUUACUCUUACAAGACUAAGGGUGUAACAUCAAUUCAAACACCCAACAAGCAAUCAUGCAAACAACAACAACAACAUGCUCACUACAAUUUAAAGAGCACUACGAAAGAAAUUAGUACCUUGAUCUGCAUUUCCUCCGAAUUCAAAGAGAUAUGGGUAUCUCUUCUUCAUGUCCUCUUUGGCUUCCCAAGUAGCUUCCUCAAUAAAUUGGUUCCUCCAAAGGACCUUGACUGAGGCUACCUCUUUCAUUCUNNNNNNNNNNNNNNNNNNNNNNNNNNNNNNNNNNNNNNNNNNNNNNNNNNNNNNNNNNNNNNNNNNNNNNNNNNNNNNNNNNNNNNNNNNNNNNNNNNNNNNNNNNNNNNNNNNNNNNNNNNNNNNNNNNNNNNNNNNNNNNNNNNNNNNNNNNNNNNNNNNNNNNNNNNNNNNNNNNNNNNNNNNNNNNNNNNNNNNNNNNNNNNNNNNNNNNNNNNNNNNNNNNNNNNNNNNNNNNNNNNNNNNNNNNNNNNNNNNNNNNNNNNNNNNNNNNNNNNNNNNNNNNNNNNNNNNNNNNNNNNNNNNNNNNNNNNNNNNNNNNNNNNNNNNNNNNNNNNNNNNNNNNNNNNNNNNNNNNNNNNNNNNNNNNNNNNNNNNNNNNNNNNNNNNNNNNNNNNNNNNNNNNNNNAAAGAGAUAUGGAUAUCUCUUCUUCAUGUCCUCUUCGGCUUCCCAAGUAGCUCCCUCAACUAGUUGGUUCCUCCAAAGGACCUUGACUGAGGCUAUAUCCUUUGUUCUCAAUCUGCGAACUUGGCGAUCUAGAAACUGAACAAGAAUCUCCUCAUAAGAUAAGUUAUCUGUGAUCCUAAUAUUCUCAGUAGGUAGUAGCAAUGAAGGAUCGCCUAAGCACUUCUUCAACAUGGAGAUGUGAAAUACCGGAUGAACCGUUGCUAGUUCCUGUGGCAAUUCCAACUCAUAAGCAACAUUGCCAAUCCUUUUGGCUAUGCGGUAAGGUCCAAUAUACAGGGGACUAAGUUUCCCCUUCUUACCAAACCUCAUAACCCCCCACAUGGGUGAAACUUUCAAAUACACCCAAUCAUUUACCUCAAACUCUAAUGCCCUUCUCCUAACAUUUGUGUAGGAUUUUUGACGACUCUGUGCCAUUUUGAACCUCUCUUGAAUCACUUUCACCUUCUCCAUAGAUUGGUGAACUAAAUCUGGUCCUAUCAACCCUGCUUUACCAACUUCAAAUCAUCCAAUAGGAGAUCUACAUCUUCUCCCAUAAAGAGCUUCAUAUGGAGCUAUCUUGGAUGCUAGAGUGAUAACUAUUAUUGUAGGCAAACUGAAUGAGAGGUAGGUGAUCAUCCCGACUCCAUUUGAAAUCGCUUACAUAGGCCCUCAACAUAUCUUCUAAAGUCUGAAUAGUGCGCUCUGCUUGCCCAUCAGUCUGAGGAUGAAAUGCAGUACUUAAGUUCACCUUGGAAUCCAAGUCCUUCUGAGAAAAAUUUCAGAACUGUGCAGUAAACUGUGCACCUCUAUCUAAAAUAAUGGAGAUUGGCACCCAAUGAAGUCUCACUAUCACUUGAAUAUAUAACUUGGCAUAAUCUUCUGCUGAAAGGGUAGUCUUUACUGGUAGAAAAUGGGCUUAUUUUAUCAUUCUAUCGACAAUCACCCAAAUAGAAUCAUGUUGUCUACGAGACCUUGGCAACCCUGUGAUGAAAUCCAUAUUGAUCAUCUCCCAAUUCCAUUCCGGAAGUUCUAUCCUCUUAGCCAAACCACCAGGCAUUUGGUGUUCAACUUUCACUUGCUGGCAAUUUGGACAUUUAACAACAAAUUCAGCAAUGCCCUUCUUCAUGCCAUUCCACCAAUAAACUUCUCUCAAGUCUCGAUACAUCUUUGUGGAACCCGGACGAAUGGAAUAACUGGAGCUAUGAGCUUCUUCCAUAAUCCUCUCUUGGAGUCCAUCUACCAUAGGUACACACAAUCUACUUGAUAUCUCAAAACACCAUCUCCCCCUUGCUCAAAAGCUAAUACUCUUUGGUUUCGAACAUUUGCCUUCAACUUAAGCAAAAUGGGAUCUUGAUCUUAUUUCUCUUUCACUUCUAACACUAAUGAUGACUCGGUCCCACUGCUAUUCCUCCUUCUGCGGAAUCUAAAAGUCUGACUCCCAAGCGUGCCAGUCUGUGCACAUCUUUUGCUAACUCUCCAUUUCCUUCUUCAAUAUGGGCAGUGCUACCCAUAGACAACCUGCUCAAAGAAUCAACAAUAACAUUAGCCUUACCUGGGUGGUAAAGAAUACUCAUGUCAUAAUCCUUGAGUAAUUCUAACCACUUCCUUUGUUUGAGAUUAAGCACUAUAACUUCAAAUCGAACACUACAUCAGCCAACUCUAAGUCAUGGGAUGGGUAGUUCUUCUCUUAAUCUUCAAUUGUCUGGAGGCAUAAGCUAUAACCUUGCCAUUCUGCAUUAAGUCACAACCCAAACCAACUAUAGAUGCAUCAUAAUACACCACAAAACCUUGAGUACUUUCUGGUAAGGUCAAAAUUGGAGCAGUAAUCAACCUCUUUUUCAAUUCCUGAAAGCUUUUCUCACAAGCUUCAGACCAUUGAAACUUAACUGUAUUCUGAGUCAAUUUGGUCAAAGGGGACGAAAUAGACAAGAACCCCUCUAUGAACCUUCUAUAAUAUUCAGCCAAACCCAAAAAACUCCUAAUAUCAGUUGGAGAUGUGGGUCUAGGCCAAUUCUGCACUGCCUUAAUUUUCUGAGUAUCAACUUUAAUUCCAUCACCAGAUACAAUUUGGCCUAGGAAUGCCACAGCAUAAGGUCCAUGAGAGUUGCUGGUGCAUUGGUCAAACCAAAAGACAUGACCAAAAACUCGUAACGACCAUAUCUAGUCCUGAAUGCUGCCGUUCGAAUAUCACAUUCCCUUACUCUUAAUUGAUGAUAGCCCGAUCUAAGGUCAAUUUUUGAAAAACAAGUGGCACCCUGAAGCUGAUCAAAAAGAUCGUCAAUCCUCGGAAGAGGGUACUUAUUCUUGAUGGUAACCUUGUUCAACUGGCGGUAGUCUAUACACAUCCAAAGGGAACCAUCUUUCUUUCUCACAAACAAGACCAAAGCGCCCCAAGGUGAAACUCUUGGUCGAAUGAAACCCUUAUCUAGGAGAUCUUUCAACUGCUCUUUCAAGUCUGCUGGUGCCAUUCUAUAAGGCGUUAUAGAGAUAGGACGAGUAUCUGGAAUGAGGUCUAUGCUGAAAUUUAUUUCUCUCUCAGGAGGAAUUACGAGUUGUUCAUCAAGAAAAACUUCUGGAAACUCUCUUACUAUAGGAACUGACUGAAAAUGAGGUAUCUCAACACUAGAGUCAUUAACUCGGACUAAGUGAUAGAUACAACCCUUCGAAACUAACUUUCUUGCCUUAAUGUACAAAAUGAAACGACCCUUAGGCACUGCUGAACUACAACUCCACUCUAUGACUGGCUCAUUCGGAAACUGAAACUUGACCACUCGAGUUCUACAGUAUAAUGAUGCAUAACAGGCAUGAAGCCAAUCCAUACCUAAAAUGACAUCGAAAUCUACCAUGUCUAACUCAACCAAAUCGGCCAUGGUGCUCUUGUGAUUGAUAUAAACAGGACAAUCAUGACAAACUCUUUCUGCUAGAAUAGACUCCCCAACAGGUGUAGAAACACAAAAGGGUUCACAAAGUCUUUUAGGAAGAACAUCAAAAUUAUUUGCAACAUAAGGAGUUACAAAAGAUAAACUUGCUCCUGGGUCUUGCAAAACAUACACAUCAAAAGCAAAGACUUUGAUCAUACCAGUGACAACAUUUGGAAAGUUCUCUUACUCAUGGCGACUGGUGAUUACAUAGAGGAUUGCAUAGAGGCGGUUUACUCCUCCACCGGUACCAGAAGUAGCUUCUCUAGGUGCCACCCUGUCUGAGGGAGCAAUUGAUGAAGAUUGGGCCCUACUGCCCAGAUUUCCACUACCUUGCUUAUCUUUCGGGCACUCCUUCAUAAAGUGACCCUCUUGCCCACGCUUAAAACAACCUGACCAUCACGACAUUUACCCGGGUGGGUUCUACCACAUCUAGCACAAGCAGGAAUCAAGCUAUCUCCUUGUGCCACACUACCUGAAUAUUGUGCUGGUCUAGCCUUGAAGCCCUUCGAAUUCUGGCCAUUAUAUUCACCUCUGUAUCUUGGUGCAGGUGCCCCAGCAGAUGAUGGAGCAGGUCCCUUUUGCCUUUGCUGAAAAGAUGAACGGUUUGCAUUACCUUUCUGCUGCCCAAACUCAUUACCGAUCUUAGCUCUCUUAUUUCUGAACUCUUCCCAGUCCCUCAGCUUCUCUUCCUCAACCUGCAGCACAUAAACCAUCAACCUUGAUAUGUCCAUGUCCCCAAUAAGCAUUGCAGCCCUACCUUCCUUACUCGACAGACGAGACAACCCAGAUACAAACAAGUUCAUUCUACUCCUCAUGUCCGCAACCAUCUCCUGAGCAUAACGGGAGAGUUAGGUGAACUUCAACCCAUACUCAUGAACACUCAAAGAAUCCUGCUUAGGCGUGAGGAACUCACGUACCUUGGCCUCUUUCAAUUCUCGAGGAAAGAAACGCCCCAAGAAAGCUUCCUCAAAACAGGCUCAACUCACAGGUGGUGCAUCCUCAGCUCUGCUCCCUUUCCACUGGUUGAACCAAGUUCUAGCAACAUCCUUCAAUCAAUACGUAGCUAAUUCAAACCACUCAGUUUCAUCCACAUACAUCACAUCAAAAAUCUUCUUCAGCUCUUUAAUGAAGUUCUCUGGAUCCUCAGUAGUGCACUAACCUAUGAAACCCUAAGGAUUCAUCCCCAAGAACUCACGAAUCCUUGAAGUGUUAGCUCCUUCAUCUCGAGCUCCCCUUUGCUGACCAAUCUGAUUAGUUCCAGCUUGACUCAGUAUCCUAAUUGCUUCUCUAAACUCAGCAUUAGAAACUUCCCCUUGAUGUUGCACUCCCAGUGCAUAAUGUAACUCUUGCUCCUCAACAUAACGUCUAGGAAUACGCCCUCUGCCAACUCUUCGUAAAGGCAUGAUUAUCUGAAACACAAGCAAGUAUGAAUUAGAAAGAAACUUUUUAGAGAUAAACUUUAACGCACGAGAUGAGUGUGAAAGAAGUGAGAAAUCUUCCUAAAUGUUGUAACCUCCAAAUUAUAGAUGUGGCGCGCUUCACACCGAUAACUAGGACUCUACAGACACGGCUUCAUAGACUCCCUAGGACUCUUAAACUUUGUGCUCUGAUACCAAGUUUGUCACACACCGAGCCUACAUUCCGGACGUGGCCGGCACUCGAAGACCAUUGAUGGCCCCAACCGAACCCUUGGCCUGACUUUCUUAACUUAGCGGAAACCUAACUCAACAGAAUAACUCCAUGCAAUGCAAGGAUAUAAAAACAACUUAACUGAUAAAAUCUUGCCCAAAAAGGCAACUCGGGUCUCAAAAUAGAAUAUUUACAUAUAUACAUAGAUAAGAGACUCAAUGCUAACUAACUGACUGUCUAUGAAGCCUCUAAAAUACUGAGAUGGAUGUUGGGACAGACCCCGCAACAUCCUAACAAAACAAAACUAAGAACACAAAAUAACAGAGUCCUCUAGAAAACAAGGAGGCUCACCACUGACUCUGGAGUGCUCAGCUAGAUCAACGGCGUGCUGGAUGCUGAUCUUGGGUACUUGUGUCUGCAUCAUAAUAAGAUGCAGGCCAACUGGCAUCAGUACAUUGAAUGUACGAGUAUGUGAGCUGGAAAACUAAAUAAUAACUUAAGCUUGAGAGGAGUACAAAGGAACUCUUACCCUAGCUCUGUUCGACUCAUGCAUAACCGAACUCAAUAUAAAGCAAUAAGAUACAUGCAAUAUAUAUAAAACUUGUAAAAUAUUGUAAACAACUUAGCUCGUUAAUGAUAAAACAAUAACAAACUCAACUUUACUUAUAUAUAAGUAAUAUAACUUUUGUAGGUGAUUCUUUAACCGGCAACCACCACUAUGAGCCCUAGUGAUGAUACAACGUUUUGCCUCACGUUGCCCAAGGACCAUCCUAUACCUUGCCGUGAUAUAGGACCUUACUUAGUGGAUCCACUAGCUUAACUUACGUGAUCAUCUAAAAAGUAUGACCCGUUAAAUCCCAUGUUUGGCUACAUGGUUCUUAUGGAGAGUUGAGUUAAUAUGAACUCGUGUCCCCAAUUUGGUGCUCAAGACUACUCCUAAAAUAUACUUUAGCUCGCAAGUGUUUUAAGCACAUCUUUCUUUAGUUUGAGAUAAUUGCUCAAAGCUUAGCCUAAAGGCUCUCUUGGAAAACAUAGUUCCUUUCUUACUCAAAUGUAAAACAUUUAUAAACUUCUUUGGGAAUACUUAGUUCCCUAAUAACUUUUGAGAAAUGAACUUGACUCUACACUCUUGACUUAACUUGAAACUCGAUAGUCUUUGCUUAACUUGAAACUUGAUACUCUUUACUUAACUUGAAACUUGAGCCUUAAAACGAAGUUAAAACGUAUAACAAAGACUCUUGAAAAACUUUAAAGACUUGCUUGGACUUACUUCUUAACUUCUAAAAUUGACUCUAACUUCACUUGACUUUGAUCCAAACUUUCCUCGAAUUGGAUUAUGAAUUCAAGGGUAAUGAUCUCAUGUUUAUGGAUGAGUUCUUGACAUUUAGACGUACCUUGGAGUGUUGAAAACAACUAUAAAACAUAGGUACAUUACCAAGGAACAUGCAUGAAAAAAUGGGGAAUGAAAGGGAGGACUUGGCUUCCUUGGCGCUUUAAGAGGCCCGGAGCGCUAGACUUCAGACUUCAGAGAGGCCUGCUGGAUGCUCUGCUAGGCGCGCCGCCCCAAGGGCUGGACUUCAAAGUCCCUUUUGGGGCGCGCUGGCCGGCGCGACGCCAAAGCCCUUUUCCCCGAAAACUCGACUUUUCUCCUUAGUUUCUCCAACUCUAAACCUUCUAAACUUCCAAGUUUCCAGUCCCAAGCACUUAGAAUCAUAAAUCCCCUUACUAUACAAUAGAUUCAACUCGGAAUUCAACCGGAAACAUGACCCAAGACAACAAGAAACUUCAACAACACAACCAACAACUUCAACAAACACAACCAAUCUUUUCUCGGAAUUAAACGAGUUUGGCGUGUGGGGGAANNNNNNNNNNNNNNNNNNNNNNNNNNNNNNNNNNNNNNNNNNNNNNNNNNNNNNNNNAAACGAGUUUGGCGUGUGGGGGAAAGAACCAACCCAAUUCUAUGAUCUCACAUACCUUAAUAGGGAUCACCCCCGACGAAAACCACGACGAUCUUCCUUGCUUGUUCUUCUCUUUCUCCUCUUCACUCACAAACCCUCACUCUCACUCUUUUAAAAAGGGAAAAACUGAUCUAAAAAUCAGUCUAAAUCCUUAAUAUAACCAAAAGAAUUGGUUAGGGAAAAGACCAAAAUACCCUUACAAAUUCGGGUGACUUCUCUAUUCCAACAGCCCAACUUCCGAAGGGCAUACCGCACUCAUACGAACUCAAAAUCGAGCAAACUCGGCGGCAUUGGAAAGACCAUUCCACAAACUUUGCAAACACAAAUGGAACUACACCUAAAUCAUCCUGAGCUAGGAGUUAUGACUAUUUAAAGUUGACCAAAAACUCACUUUUUCCCAUAUUUAACCAAAUUUUCUAGAUUUUUAAAUUCUUUCCAAAAAUAACUAUUUCCGAUUUUUAAGCUUCUUCCUAGUUAUCAACGUGCAAGAUGUCAUAGAAAUAAUUCCACUUUAAAAUAGCUCAGGGGGUAAUAGGACCCCUGUGAAGUAUAAGUGUGUAGUUGGAAAUCCGGUUAUAGAUUGGGGGGUCAUUUGGCCAUUUUCUUUAUUUUUGCUAUGUCAAAGGUUCAAUUCUUCGAUUUGGUGUAAUAAUCUCAAAACUUUGUGCAUCAAAGAAUCGAAUUGACAAAUAUGAAUUUUUAAGCAUAAGUGUUCCAUGAUAACAUCGAUCCACCACUAGUCCUAUGUUUAUAUAUAGUGAAAAUUAACUUAUCUACCAAUAUGGGUUAUGGUGAGGCUAUUUCACCAUUAACCAGAGGUCUUGAGUUUGAGCCCUAGAUAUAGAAAAAAUCAUGUUAGGAGCGCCACCCCAGAAUGGGCCCAAUAGAGCGCGAUCCAAAUUAAGCUGGAGCUCUAAUGUGGGCUCCGAACAUUGGAUAGGAAACAAAAAUAAAACAUAUCUUAGAUGCUUAAUUUUUUUAUUUUUUUAUUGGUUUUCCACCUAGUCCCGUUUGAUAUAAAGGCUUUAGCUUUGUUGUAUUGGUCCUAUUUUAAAAUUUGAAUCUAGUAGUUUUAAAUAAAAAGAUUUAUCAAAUGUAUUAAAAUAUCCUCUAAUCUUAUAAUCUUAAAGAUGACAUGUGAAAAGUUGAACUUAAAAAGUUAUUAAAAAGUGAAACAUUCUUUUUGAAGUAAUUUUUUUUUUAGGAUAAACAAAUUAAAACAAACGAAAUAAUAAUUAUGAGCCAACAAUUGACCAAAAAGGUAAUCAAAAUUGCUUCAUAUGCAAAGAACUAAUCAGAGAUCAAAGAAAUAAUGACUAAUAAUUUAUUUAUAAACUAAUUUAAAAGAGCAAAAAAUUUAAAAAUACAAAAAAUCAGUAAAAUAUUCACAUGUUUGACCAAGAAACCCAUGAUAAAAGGAAGACAUGUAAAAAUGGGUAGAUUGCAAUUACAACAACAUAAGUACAUUGAAUUUUAAUGGAAAGAAAUCACUGUCAGAAUUUUCAUCUUAUUAGUGAGCGUUUGAUUUUCGACCCCCCUAUAAUUCCCCUCGACCCAAUUAAAAAAAAUACAUGACUUGAAUCUUUAGGGAUUUUUGAAGUUCUUGAAAUAAGUUUUCUAACGAGUUAUACCAAUAUGUAUAGUCAACACAAAUUAUUUUCAACAAAAUCACUGCAUGUUUGUAAUGGAUCGAUAUUAUUUAAAUGAUAUAUAAUUGUAUAUAGAUAAUGUAUAACUAUGUAUCAGAGAUGAAUAUGCACCUAAAUAAUAGUAAGUACUCUCUGUCAGUUCAUUUUAUGUAAGACACAAAUUGAUUAAAAAUAAAUAAGACUUUUUAAAUUGCAACUAAGGAGUUACUGAUUAUAAAUAGUGAUUUUUUUAAAAAAAAAAUUAAAACAAACUAAACAUAAAAGUAAGACACAAAUUGAAACAUGGGAAGUAAUAUAAUAGUUAACAAUAUAAUUAGAUGAGAAAAAAAAGGUAAGGAUGAGAAUGUUCCACCAAAUUAAUCAUUACAUAAAAUAAGCAUUCUUAGCAUUAACGAAUAGGGGAUUUAACAAUAUAAUAAAUAUUAAUAACAAUCAAAAUAAAUAUUAUAUUUAAAUACAAAAGAUAUAGUAUACAUGCAAUACAAUAGGUAUGAACCAUCCAAACAACAUGUAAAGCAAAGUAGAAAAACUAGAACAUUUUAGUGGCUUCAAAAACAAGCAAACCUACAAAUUGAACUUGAUCUAGUAAUGUGAGCAAUGACAGAAUCCAUCUCUCUUAGAAUCCCCACCAAGAGUGAUGGAUUGUCUCACUUUUUUACUUAAUUCAACCAUAUUCAUCCUCACCUCAUUUCCUUCUAGGGAAGCCAUCAAUUUUCUUAGCGCGAUCUCAAUAGUUAUGGAUCUAAUUAACUCUUCACGUCGUUCCCAAUCCUUCACCGUGAUGCCAAUUCUGAGGACCUUUGAGACGAGCACUGCAAUCCUAGGAUGGUCAAAAACCAUAGGCCAUGUGGCUAAUGGAACUCCCAUAGUAACAGACUCUUGUACAGAAUUCCACCCGCAGUGACUCAAGAAACCUCCUGUUGCUGAGUGCCCUAAGAUAUCUAAUUUGGGUGCCCAAUCCUUCACCACGAGUCAUCUUCCUUGUACUCUCUCUUCAUAACCUUUAAGAAUUUGAACUUGUUCGCCUUUUUUUAACAACUCAUCACUCACUAUCCAAAUGAACUUGUGUUGACUCUUUUCCAACCCUAUAGCGAGCUCUUUGAUUUGCUCUGUGGAUAAGGAAGUUGUUGUUCCAAAUGACACUAAUAUUACAGAGUUUGGUUCUUGUUUGUCUAGCCAUUUCAAACACCCAUGACGAUUGAUGUUGUUUUGAUCAUCAUUAAUGGUCGCGAUUGGAAGUAAUGGACAUAUAGCCCAUUGCUUAGGGCUUCUUCUUAGUAACCUAUAGAACCUUGCAAGAACAUCGAUAUAAGUCCCCUCAAUUGCCUUGCAUGUGUAGUAGAGGUUUCCAGAGCAGAAUUUUUUAUACAAGUCUUGCCUUAUACUAAAGUUCAUAAACUCGGGUAUGAAACUACUUUGAUAGGACGGAAGAUUAUUGGGAAAUUCAAAACCACUUGGGAUUAGAACUCUCGCGGCAAAUUUGCCAAUAAACAAGGGGGAGAUGGAGUCGUAUUAGUUCCUCUUCCACAUACAUGGAACUUAUCAUAAAAACUGACGAGGAAUUGAAACAAUAGGCCUCUGCAAUUGGCAGAGAAACAACGUCUUCAACAACACUAGCCAUCAUAGAGUCAUAAAUGACUACUACCUUGCGUGUUUUUUGGAAACCUCUUGUAAGAAUGCCCCCACAGGCUUGCGCAACAUAAGGGUUUCUUCAAGGAGGGGUAGUAUGAAUUUUUGUGACUCCCUUUCAGACAAAGAUUUAUUUGAAGAAUAUUGUUCACCAGUUGGUGGAUUUGGGAAUUCAUGGAAAUAGAUGUUGCAAGUGGUUAGAGGUUCCCAACCAUAAACACGAUUUUUAACUUGCUUAAUUUUGUCAGCGUAGGAAAGAUAAUAGAUUGGUAAAUUGUAGGAAGAAAUUACUUGAGAGAUAUUGAGGAGUUGAUUGAGAUGUCCUUGUAAUAAAAAGGUAUCAUCACUACAACUACUUCUUCUUCUUCGAUUCUAUUAAUUUGGCUAUGGUUUGAAGAAAAGGCAAUAUCAUACAUAGCCAUUUCAACAAAAGUUUGGUAUAUAGAUAAGCUAAUAUAUUGAUUCUUGAUGUGGCUUUUUCUGAGAAAACAUAUGGAAUCCAGCCAUUAUAAAUACAUAUACUAGUUGAUUAUAGAUCACGAGUUCAGACAACAACUAACUAAAUAUCUCAACAAAAAUAACAAUAAUAAUAAAAAUAAUAAUACUAAUAAUAAUAAUAAUAAUAAUAAUAACAACUUACUCAGUGUAUAAUCCACAAAUAACAUCUAAAGAGGAUAGGACGAUGUACAUGCACAAACCUCCACCGUUCUGAUAAUAUAAUUGUCAUACAAAUAUUAUGAUGUUUUAUCAUAUUAUAUUCUUUAUUAUAUUAUAAAGGGAAAAUGCAUAAGUACCCCCAACCUAUGCCCGAAAUCUCAGAGACACAUUUAUAUUAUACUAAGGUCCUAUUACCCCCCUCCCUCCCCCACUCCCCCCAAACUUAUUUUAUAAGUAAUUUUCUACCCCUAUUUCGGCUUACGUGGCACUAUCUUCUGGACCCAGCACAUUCUGACAAUUUUUUCUAGCUAUUUGGUUGAUAGUGCCACGUAGGCCGAAAUGGGGUAGAAAAUUAUUUAUUAAAUAUGUUCAGAGAGUAAUAGGAACUUAGUAUAGUAUAAGUGUGUCUUUGGGAUUUCGGGCAUAGGUUGGGGGCUACUUAUGCAUUUUCCCUAUUAUAAAUAAAAAAAUUAUUAGCUACGGUUAUAUUUAAAUGACAAAACUAAUUAACUUGAAAAUUAAGGAUGAACAGUUCUACCUUUGGUUGUGACUGAGAAAGUCGAGGCAGACAAAGUAGGAACUACUUUUGUAAGGCUCAAGCGGUCAAUCCAAUAGAGAUAUCGAGUGGGAAACAUAAAAACAAUCUUGAUUAACAGCAUGCUUGUUGUUGAAUUAAUCAAUUAGUUCAUACUUGAGUGGGAAACAUAAAAACAAUCCUGAUUAGUAGCGUGCUUGUUGUUGAAUUAACAAAUUAGUUCGUACUUUCUCUAUCUCGUUUUAGAUGGACAUUUUACUAAAAAUAUUUAUUAUAAAUUAAUGGGAAAAUGCAUAAGUACCCCCCCAGUCUAUGCCCAAAAUCCUUGAAACACACCUAACCUUUACUAAGGUCCUAUUACCUCCCCGAACUUAUUUUUUAGUUAAUUUUUUACCACUUUUCGACCUACGUGGCUGAGUCCGUGACUUCACCUAUGUUAGGCGCGUGGGUACAGUUUUUAGACAGCACUAACCAAUAAAAAUUGGCCAUGUGUUAAAAUAAACUUGAAAAAAAUAAAUAUUAACUCAAUUGUCUUCUUCUUUAUUAUUGCUUCAUGUUUGGAAAAAAAAAUCUCCAUUAUCACAAGUUAAAUUGCUCCUUUCUUCGAAAAGCUAACAAAAUAAAAUCAAGAAAAAACUAACCUUUGAAUCAACCACGAUUCUUGAUGACUUAGAGGUAGGGGUGUACAUAGGUCGGUUUGGUUCGGUUUUUCAUUAAAAAAAACCUAUAUCAAUUAUGUCGGUUUAUUAAAUCUAAAUACCAAAUCAAACCACGCAAAGUCAGUUUUUUCGGUUUCGGUUUUAGUCAGAUCUUUUGGUUUUUUGGUUUUUUUCAAUUUUUUACAACUUAACGGUGUUUGAAAAAGAGAUCAAAUAUAUUUUCACCUACCUGUGUGAUAAGCUAAACUUAAGAAACGUUAAAUGAAUAGAAAUUUUCGUAAAGACGGUAAAAUUCACAUGAGUAGAAAAUAUUUUUUUUGGAAAUAUCAACGUUCAUUAUGUUAAAUUAAUAAGAUUAAAGGAUACAGUCAAACUGAAUACAAAACGAAAUAUUUACACAGUAAAUUGCUAACUUCAAAUUUGAAAACUAUAACAAUAUGAUUGUAACUUCGGAUCUUAAUACAAAAUAAAAUAUUUACAAAUUUUACAAGCCCAAAUUUGAAAUAAAAUAUAUAAACAUUGAAAACUAUAAACUAGCUAAAAUAUAUUAACAAAGUAGAUUAUAAAUAAUAUUUUUUAUCUAUAAAUAAAAUAAAAUUAUAUGAAUAAUAUUUACAAAAUUUUACAAGCCCAAAUUUGAAAUAAAAUAUAUAAACAUUGAAAACUAUAAACUAGCUAAAAUAUAUUAACAAAGUAGAUUAUAAAUAAUAUUUUUUAUCUAUAAAUAAAAUAAAAUUAUAUGAAUAAUAUUUACAAAAUUUUACAAGCCCAAAUUUGAAAUAAAAUAUAUAAACAUUGAAAACUAUAAACUAGCUAAAAUAUAUUAACAAAGUAGAUUAUAAGUAAUAUUUUUUUUAUCUAUAAAUAAAAUAAAAUUAUAUGAAUAAUAUUUACAAAAUUUUACAAGCCCAAAUUUGAAAUAAAAUAUAUAAACAUUGAAAACUAUAAACUAGCUAAAAUAUAUUAACAAAGUAGAUUAUAAGUAAUAUUUUUUUUAUCUAUAAAUAAAAUAAAAUUAUAUGAAUAAUAUUUACAAAAUUUUACAAGCCCAAAUUUGAAAUAAAAUAUAUAAACAUUGAAAACUAUAAACUAGCUAAAAUAUAUUAACAAAGUAGAUUAUAAGUAAUAUUUUUUUUAUCUAUAAAUAAAAUAAAAUUAUAUGAAUAAUAUUUACAAAAUUUUACAAGCCCAAAUUUGAAAUAAAAUAUAUAAACAUUGAAAACUAUAAACUAGCUAAAAUAUAUUAACAAAGUAGAUUAUAAGUAAUAUUUUUUUUAUCUAUAAAUAAAAUAAAAUUAUAUAUAUAAUAUUUACAAAAUUUUACAAGCCCAAAUUUGAAAUAAAAUAUAUAAACAUUGAAAACUAUAAACUAGCUAAAAUAUAUUAACAAAGUAGAUUAUAAGUAAUAUUUUUUUUAUCUAUAAAUAAAAUAAAAUUAUAUAUAUAAUAAUUACAAAAUUUUACAAGCCCAAAUUUGAAAUAAAAUUAUAAACAUUGAAAUCUAUAAACUAACUAAAAAUAUAUUAACAAAGUAGAUUAUAAAUAAUAUUUUUAUCUAAAACAUAAAAUGAUAGCUUUUUGAAUUUUUGGGAAGUGUAAAAGCUACUUUUGAAUUGAUAGCUUACUUUUUAGAAAGUUGAAAAAGCUAGGCCCAGCGCGUGUUGAACAAAGCUUUCAACCUAUCUGGUUUAUAUUGCCACGUAAGUCGAAAAGUGGUUAAAAACUAAUUAAAAAAUACGUUCGAGGGGGUAAUAGGACCUUAGUAAAGGUUAGGUGUGUCUCAGAGAUUUUGGGCAUAGGCUGGGGGGAUACUUAUGCAUUUUCCCUAAAUUAAUUGAUGACUUACUAAAUUAGGAUAGAAUUAAUUGUUUUUUUUUCCUAUUUUACUUCUACAACUAAUAUGGUCUUCGGAAGUUUAAACAAAUUUUGAAGAUCCACAAUUUCUUUUUUUUUUUUCAAUAGGAUAAUAUGAACAAAGGGGAAAAUAGUAAAAUUGACAAAUAUGAUUUUUUAAGCAUAAUAAGUGUUCCAUGAUAAUAUCGAUCCACCAUUAGUCCUAUGUUUAUAUAUAGUGAAAAUUAACUUACCUACCCAAUAUGGGUUGUGGUAUAGUGGUGAGACUAUUUCGCCCUUAACCAAAGGUCUUGAGUUCGAGCCCUAGAUAUAGAGAAAAUCAUGUUAGAAACACCAUCCCAGAAUGAACCCAACAGAGCGCGAUCCAAAUCAAGCCGGAGCUCUAAUGUGGGUUCUAGACAUUGGGUAGAAAACAAAAAAAAAAACUUAUCUUACAGGCUUAAUUUUUUAUUUUUUAUUGGUCUCCCACCUAGUCCCGUUUGAUAUAAAGGCUUUAGCUUGAAGACUUCUUAUUUAAAACUACUAAAUUCAAAAAAAUAAAUUGAAUCUAGUAGUUUUAAAUAAAAAGAUUUAUCAAAUGUAUUAAAAUGUCCUUUAAUAUUAUAAUCUUAAAGAUGACAUGUGAAAAUUUGAACUUAAAAAGUUAUUAAAAAAAUGAAAUGUUUUUUUUAAAGUAAAUUUUUAAAUUUUUUUAGGAUAAAUAAAUUAAAACGAAUGAAAUAAUAAUUAAGAACCAACAAUUGACCAAAAAGGUAAUCAAAAUUGCUUCAUAUGCAAAGAACUAACACAGAUUAAAGAAAUAAUGACUAAUGAUUUAUUUAUAAACUAAUUUAAAAGAGUAAAAAAUUUGAAGACACAAAAAAUCAGUAAAAUAUUCACAUGUUUGACCAAGAAACCCAUGAUAAAAGGAAGACAUGUAAAAUGGGUAGAUUGCAAUUACAACAACAUAAGUACAUUGAAUUUUAAUGGUAAGUAAUCAUUGUCAGAAUUUUCAUCUCUUUAGUGAGCAUUUGAUUUUCGACCCCCUUAUAACUCCCCUCGAUCCAAUUAAAAAAAAAUACAUGACUUGAAUUUUUAGGAAUUUUUGAAGUUCUUGAAAUAAGUUUUCUAACGAGUUAUACCAAUAUGUAUAGUCAACACAAAUUAUUUUCAACAAAAUGACUGCAUGUUUAUAAUGUAUCGAUAUUAUUUAAAUAAUAUAUAAUUGUAUAUAGAAAAUGUAUAACUAUGUAUUAGAGAUGAAUAUACAUCUAAAUAAUAUCAAGUACUCUCUGUCCGUUCAUUUAUUGUGUGUUAGUUUGACAAAAAAAAAAGAGAAUUUAAAAAUAAAUAAAACUUUUUAACUUGCAACUAAUAAGUUACUGUUUAUAAAUAGCGAUUUUUUUUUUUUAAAAAAAAAACUGACUAAACAUAAAAGUAAGACACAAAUUGAACCAUUGGAAGUAAUAUAAUAGUUAACAAUAUAAUUAGAAGAGAAAAAAAGGUAAGGACGAGAACGUUCCACCAAAUUAAUCAUUACAUAAAAUGAGCAUUCUCACCAUUAAGGAAUAUAUAGGGGAUUUUAACAAUAUAAUAAAUUUUAAUAACAAUCAAAAUAAAUAUUAUAUUUAAAUACAAAAGAUAUAGUAUACAUGCAAUACAAUAGGUAAGAACCAUCCAAACAACAUGUAAAGCAAAGUAGAAAAACUAGAACAUUUUAGUGUCUUCAGAAACAAGCACACCUACAAAUUGAACUUGAUCUAGUAAUGUGAGCAAUGAAAGAAUCCAUCUCUCUCUUAGAAUCCCCACCAAGAGUGAUGGAUUGUCUCACUUUUUUACUUAAUUCAACCAUAUUCUUCCUCACCUCAUUUCCUUCUGGGGAAGCCAUCAAUUUUCUUAGCGCGAUCUCAAUAGUUAUGGAUGUAAUUAACUCAUCACGUCGUUCCCAAUCCUUCACUGUGAUGCCAAUUUUGAGGACCUUUGUGACAAGCACUGCAAUCCUUGGAUGGUCAAAAAUCAUAGGCCAUGUGGCUAAUGGAACUCCCAUGGUAACAGACUCUAGUACAGAAUUCCACCCGCAGUGACUCAAGAAACCUCCUGUUGCUGAGUGCCCUAAGAUAUCUAAUUUGGGUGCCCAAUCCUUCACCACGAGUCAUCUUCCUUGUACUCUCUCUUCAUAACCUUUGGGAAUUUGAACUUGUUCGCCUUCUUUUAACAACACAUCACUCACUAUCCAAAUGAACUUGUGUUGACUCUUUUCCAACCCUAUAGCGAGCUCUUUGAUUUGCUCUGUGGAUAAGGAAGUUGUUGUUCCAAAUGACACUAAUAUUACAGAGUUUGGUUCUUGUUUGUCUAGCCAUUUCAAACACCCAUGACGAUUAAUGUUGUUUUGAUCAUCAUUUAUGGUCGCGAUUGAAAGUAAUGGACCUAUAGCCCAUUGCUUAGGGCUUCUUCUUAGUAACCUAUUGAACCUUGCAAGAACAUCGAUAUAAGGCCCCUCAAUCGCCUUGCAUGUGUAGUAAAGGUUUCCAGAGCAGAAUUUUUUAUACAAGUCUUGCCUUAUACUAAAGUCCAUAAACUCGGGUAUGAAACUACUUUGAUAGGACAGAAGAUUUUUGGGAAAUUCAAAUCCACUUGGGAGUAGAACUCUCGCGGCAAAUUUGCCAAUAAACAAGAGGAGAUGGAGUCGUAUUAGUUCCUCUUCCACAUACAUGGAACUUAUCAAAAAAGCAGACGAGGAGUUGAAACAAUAGGCCUCUGCAUUUGGUAUAGAAGCAACGUCUUCAACAACACUAGCCAUCAUAGAGACAUAAAUGACUACUACCUUGCGUGUUUUUUUGGAAACCUCUUGUAAGAAUGCCCCCACAGGCUCGCGCAACAUAAGGGUUUCUUCAAGGAGGGGUAGUAUGAAUUUUUGUGACUCCCUUUCGGACAAAGAUUUAUUUGAAGAAUAUUGUUCACCGGAUGGUGGAUUUGGGAAUUCAUGGAAAUAGAUGUUGCAAGUUGUUAGAGGGUCCCAACCAUAAACACGAUUUUUAACUUGCUUAAUUUUGUCAGCGUAGGAAAGAUAAUAAAUUGUUAAAUUGUAGGAAGAAAUUACUCGAGAGAUAUUGAGGAGUUGAUUUAGAUGUCCUUGUAAUAAAAAAGGUAUUAUCACUACAACUACUUCUUCUUUUUCUUCGAUUCCAUUAAUUUGGCUGUGGUUUGAAGAAAAGGCAAUAUCAUACAUAGCCAUUUCAACAAAAGUUUGGUAUAUAGAUAAGCUAAUAUAUUAAUUCUUGAUGUGGCUUUUGCUGAGAAAACAUAUGGAAUCCGGCCCCUAUAAAUACAUUUACUAAUUGAUUAUAGAUCACGAGUUCAGACAAACAACUAACUAAAUAUCUCAACUCCAACAAUAACAAUAAUAAAUUACUCAAUGUAAUCCACAAAUAACAUCUAAAGAGGAUAGGACGAUGUACAUGCACAAACCUCCACCUUUCUGAUAAUAUAAUAGUUAUAUAAAUAUUAUGACGUAUUUAGUACGAUAAGUACCAAAUUAAAGUCUUCAUUUAUAAAUUUUAACAUAUACUUCAAAAUGUUAAUAAUUUGGGACUCCAAUAUUAUAUAUAUACAAAAUAAAUGAUUGUUUAUUGCAAUGGACAAUAUCAUAUUAUACGUAACAAUAUUUGCGGGAUUGGCUACCUGUUUUUGAUUACAUUUUCAACGUUUUAUCAUAUUAUAUUAUAUAUUAUAUUAUAAAGGGAAAAUGCAUAAAUACCCCAACCUAUGCCUGAAAUCUCAAAGACACACUUAUAUUAUACUAAGGUUCUAUUACCCCCCCCCCCCACCCCCACCCCAAACUUAUUUUAUACGUAAUUUUCUACCCCUUUUCGGCCUACGUGGCACUAUCUUCUGGACCUAGCGCGUGUUGACAAUUUUUUCAAGAUAUUUGGUUGAUAGUGCCACGUAGGCCGAAAAGGGGUAGAAAAUUACGUAUAAAAUAAGUUUGGGGUGGGGGUGGGGGGGGGGGGAGAUAGAUCUUUUUAAAUAUCAUAGGGUUGCUCAAAGGAUAUUUACAAAUGAACUUACUUUUAUUUAUUUUUAAAAAUCAGACGUCUAAACUAUGGAAUGAGCACGCUUUAGGUUAACUAAUAUAUAUAUAAUAUUAGAAUGGACAGUUCUACCUUUGGUUGUGACUGAGAAAGUCGAGGCAGACAAAGUAGGAACUACUUUUGUAAGGCUCAAGCGGUCAAUCCAAUAGAGAUAUCGAGUGGGAAACAUAAAAACAAUCUUGAUUAACAGCAUGCUUGUUGUUGAAUUAAUCAAUUAGUUCAUACUUUCUCUAGCUCGUUUUAGAUGGACAUUUUACUAAAUAUAUUUAUCAUAAAUUAAUUGAUGACUUACUAAAUUAGGAUAGAAUUAAUUGUUUUUUUUUUCCUAUUUUACUUCUACAACUAAUAUGGUCUUUGGAAGUUUAAACAAAUUUUGAAGAUCCGUAAUUUCUUUCUUUUUUUUCAAAAGGAUAAUAUGAACAAAGGGGAAAAUAGUAAAAUUGACAAAUAUGAUUUUUUAAGAAUAAUAAGUGUUCCAUAAUAACAUCGAUCCACCACUAGUCCUAUGUUUAUAUAUAUUGAAAAUUAACUCACCUACCAAUAUGGGUUGUCGUAUAGUGGUGAGACUAUUUCACCCUUAACCAAAGGUCUUGAGUUCGUGCCCUAGAUAUAGAGAAAAAUCAUGUUAGGAGCGCCAUUCCAGAAUAAACCCAACAGAGCGCGAUCCAAAUCAAGCCAGAGCUCUAAUGUGGGCUCCGGACAUUAGAUAGAAAACAAAAAAAAAACUUAUCUUAGAGGCUUAAUUUUUUAUUUUUUAUUGAUUUCCCACCUAGUCCCGUUUGAUAUAAAGGCUUUAGCUUGAAGACUUCUUAUUUAAAACGACUAAAUUCAAAAAAAUAAAUUGAAUCUAGUAGUUUUAAAUAAAAAGAUUUUAUCAAAUGUAUUAAAAUGUCCUUUAAUAUUAUAAUCUUAAAGAUGACAUGUGAAAAUUUGAACUUAAAAAGUUAUUAAAAAAAUGAAAUGUUUUUUUUAAAGUAAAUUUUUAAAUUUUUUUAGGAUAAAUAAAUUAAAACGAAUGAAAUAAUAAUUAAGAACAAACAAUUGACCAAAAAGGUAAUCAAAAUUGAUUCAUAUGCAAAGAACUAACACAGAUUAAAGAAAUAAUAAUAUAUUUACAAACUAAUUUAAACGAGCAAAAAAUUAGAAAUAACAAAAAAUCAGUAAAAUAUUCACAUGUUUGACCAUGAAACCCAUGACAAAAGGAAGACAUGUAAAAUGGGUAGGUUGCAAUUACAACAACAUAAGUACAUUGAAUUUUAAUGGUAAGAAAUCACUGUCAGAAUUUUCAUCUUAUUAGUGAGCGUUUGAUUUUCGAUCCCCUUAUAAUUCCCCUCUAUCCAAUUAAAAAAAAUACACGACUUGAAUCUUUAGGGAUUUUUGAAGUUCUUGAAAUAAGUUUUCUAACGAGUUAUACCAAUAUGUAUAGUCAACACAAAUUAUUUUCAACAAAAUGAUUGUAUGUUUGUAAUGUAUCGAUAUUAUUUAAAUAAUAUAUAAUUGUAUAUAGAUAAUGUAUAGCUAUGUAUUAGAGAUGAAUAUACAUCUAAAUAAUACUAAGUACUCUCCGGCCGUUCAUUUUAUGUGUGUUAGUUUGACAAAAAAAAAGGAGAAUUUAAAAAUAAAUAAGACUUUUUAACUUGCAAUUAAGGAGUUACUGAUUAUAAAUAGUGAUUAUUUUUUAUUUUUUUAAAAAAAAAUAACUAAACAUAAAAGUAAGACACAAAUUGAACCAUGGUAAAUAAUAUAAUAGUUAACAAUAUAAUUAGAAGAGAAAAAAAGGUAAGGACGAGAACGCUCCAACAAAUUAAUUAUUACAUAAAAUGAGCAUUCUUAUCAUGAAGGAAUAGGGGAUUUAACAAUAUAAUAAAUGGAAAAUGCAUAAGUACCCCCUAGCCUAUACCCAAAAUCUCUGAGACACACCUAACCUUUACUAAGGUCCUAUUACCCCCCGAACUUAUUUUAUAUAUAAUUUUUUACCCCUUUUAAGCCUACGUGACACUAUCUUGUGGGCCCAACGCGUGUUGACAUUUUUUUCAAGGAUGGUGCCACGUAGGCCAAAAAGGGGUAGAAAAUUAAUAAAAAAAUAAGUUCAGGGGGGUAAUAGGACCUUAGUAAAGGUUAGGUGUGUCUCAGGGAUUUCGGGCAUAGGCUGGGGUGGUACUUGUGCAUUUUCCCUUUAAUAACAAUCAAAAUAAAUAUAAUAUUUAAAUACAAAAGAUAUAGUGUACAUUAUUACAUAAAAUGAGCAUUCUUAUCAUUAAGGAAUAGGGGAUUUACCAAUAUAAUAAAUUUUAAUAACAAUCAAAAUAAAUAUUAUAUUUAAAUACAAAAGAUAUAGUAUACAUGCAAUACAAUAGGUAAGAACCAUCCAAACAACAUGUAAAGCAAAGUAGAAAAACUAGAACAUUUUAGUGUCUUCAUAAACAAGCACACCUACAAAUUGAACUUGAUCUAGUAAUGUGAGCAAUGAAAGAAUCCAUCUCUCUCUUAGAAUCCCCACCAAGAGUGAUGGAUUGUCUCACUUUUUUACUUAAUUCAACCAUAUUCUUCCUCACCUCAUUUCCUUCUGGGGAAGCCAUCAAUUUUCUUAGCGCGAUCUCAAUAGUUAUGGAUGUAAUUAACUCAUCACGUCGUUCCCAAUCCUUCACUGUGAUGCCAAUUUUGAGGACCUUUGUGACAAGCACUGCAAUCCUUGGAUGGUCAAAAAUCAUAGGCCAUGUGGCUAAUGGAACUCCCAUGGUAACAGACUCUAGUACAGAAUUCCACCCGCAGUGACUCAAGAAACCUCCUGUUGCUGAGUGCCCUAAGAUUUCCAAUUGGGGUGCCCAAUCCUUCACCACGAGCCCUCUUCCUUGUACUCUCUCUUCAUAACCUUUGGGAAUUUGAACUUGUUCGCCUUCUUUUAACAACACAUCACUCACUAUCCAAAUGAACUUGUGUUGACUCUUUUCCAACCCUAUAGCGAGCUCUUUGAUUUGCUCUGUGGAUAAGGAAGUUGUUGUUCCAAAUGACACUAAUAUUACAGAGUUUGGUUCUUGUUUGUCUAGCCAUUUCAAACACCCAUGACGAUUGAUGUUGUUUUGAUCAUCAUUAAUGGUCGCGAUUGGAAGUAAUGGACCUAUAUCCCAUUGCUUAGGGCUUCUUCUUAGUAACCUAUUAAACCUUGCAAGAACAUCGAUAUAAGGCCCCUCAAUCGCCUUGCAUGUGUAGUAAAGGUUUCCAGAGCAGAAUUUUUUAUACAAGUCUUGCCUUAUACUAAAGUCCAUAAACUCGGGUAUGAAACUACUUUGAUAGGACGGAAGAUUAUUGGGAAAUUCAAAUCCACUUGGGAGUAGAACUCUCGCGGCAAAUUUGCCAAUAAACAAGGGGAGAUGGAGUCGUAUUAGUUCCUCUUCCACAUACAUGGAACUUAUCAAAAAAGCAGACGAGGAGUUGAAACAAUAGGCCUCUGCAUUUGGUAUAGAAGCAACGUCUUCAACAACACUAGCCAUCAUAGAGUCAUAAAUGACUACUACCUUGCGUGUUUUUUUGGAAACCUCUUGUAAGAAUGCCCCCACAGGCUCGCGCAACAUAAGGGUUUCUUCAAGGAGGGGUAGUAUGAAUUUUUGUGACUCCCUUUCGGACAAAGAUUUAUUUGAAGAAUAUUGUUCACCAGAUGGUGGAUUUGGGAAUUCAUGGAAAUAGAUGUUGCAAGUGGUUAGAGGGUCCCAACCAUAAACACGAUUUUUAACUUGCUUAAUUUUGUCAGCGUAGGAAAGAUAAUAGAUUGGUAAAUUGUAGGAAGAAAUUACUCGAGAGAUAUUGAGGAGUUGAUUGAGAUGACCUUGUAAUAAAAAAGGUAUCAUCACUACAACUACUUCUUCUUCUUCGAUUCCAUUAAUUUGGCUGUGGUUUGAAGAAAAGGCAAUAUCAUACAUAGCCAUUUCAACAAAAGUUUGGUAUAUAGAUAAGCUAAUAUAUUAAUUCUUGAUGUGGCUUUUGCUGAGAAAACAUAUGGAAUCCAGCCCCUAUAAAUACAUUUACUAGUUGAUUAUAGAUCACGAGUUCAGACAAACAACUAACUAAAUAUCUCAAUAACAACAACAAUAAUAAUAAUAACUUACUCAGUGUAAUCCACAAAUAAUAUCUAAAGAGUAUAGGACGAUGUUACAUGCACAAACCUCCACCUUUCUGAUAAUAUAAUAGCCAUACAAAUAUUAUGAUGUAUUUAGUACGAUAAGUAUCAAAUUAAAGUCUUCAUUUAUAAAUUUUAACAUAUACUUCAAAAUGUUAAUAAUUUGGGACUCCAAUAUUAUAUAUAUACAAAAUAAAUGAUUGCGUAUUGCAAUGGAUAAUAUCAGAUUAUACGUAACAAUAUUUGCGGGAUUGCCUACCUGUUUUAGAUUACAUUUUCAAUGUUUUAUCAUAUUUUAUUAUAUAUAAUAUUAUAAAGGGAAAAUGCAUAAGUACCCCUAACAGAUGCCCAAAAUCUACACACUUAUAUUAUACUAAGGUCCUAUUACCCCUCCACUCCCAUCCCCCAUCCCAAAUUUAUUUUAUAAGUAAUUUUUUACCCCUUUUCGGCCUACGUGGCACUAUCUUCUAGACCUAGCGCGUGUUGACAAUUUUUUCAAGAUAUUUGGUUGAUAGUGCCACGUAGGCCGAAAAGGGGUCGAAAAUUAUUUAUUAAAUAAGUUCGGAGAGUAAUAGGACCUUAGUAUAGUAUAAGUGUGUGUUUGGGAUUUCGGGCAUAGGUUGGGGGCUACUUAUGCAUUUUCCCUAUUAUAAAUAAAAAACUAUUAGCUACGGUUAUAUUUAAAUUACAAAACUAAUUAACUUGAAAAUUAAGGAUCUUUUUAAAUAUCAUAGGGUUGCUCAAAGGAUAUUUACAAAUGAACUUACUUUUAUUUAUUUUUAAAAAUCAGACGUCUAAACUAUGGAAUGAGCACGCUUUAGGUUAACUAAUAUAUAUAUAAUAUUAGAAUGGACAGUUCUACCUUUGAUUGUGACUGAGAAAGUCGAGGCAGACAAAGUAGGAACUAUUUUUGUAAGGCUCAAGCGGUCAAUCCAAUAGAGAUAUCGAGUGGGAAACAUAAAAACAAUCUUGAUUAGCAGCGUGCUUGUUGUUGAAUUAAUCAAUUAGUUCGUACUUUCUCUGUCUCGUUUUAGAUGGACAUUUUACUAAAAAUAUUUAUCAUAAAUUAAUUGAUGACUUACUAAAUUAGGAUAGAAUUAAUUGUUUUUUUUUCCCUAUUUUACUUCUACAAUUAAUAUGAUCUUUGGAAGUUUAAACAAAUUUUGAAGAUCCGCAAUUUCUUUCUUUUUUUUCAAGAGGAUAAUAUGAACAAAGGGGAAAAUAGUGAAAUUGACAAAUAUGAUUUUUUAAGCAUAAUAAGUGUUCCAUGAUAACAUCGAUCCACCACUAGUCCUAUGUUUAUAUAUAGUGAAAAUUAACUUACCUACCAAUAUGGGUUGUGGUAUAGUGGUGAGACUAUUUCACCCUUAACCAGUGUCUUAAGUUUGUGCCCUAGAUAUAGAGAAAAUCAUGUUAGGAGCGCCAUUCCAUAAUGAACACAAUAGAGCGCGAUCCAAAUCAAGCAGGAGCUCUAAUGUGGGCUCCGGACAUUGGAUAGCAAACAAAAAAAACUUAUCUUAGAGGCUUAAUUUUUUAUUUUUUAUUGAUUUCCCACCUAGUCCCGUUUGAUAUAAAGGCUUUAACUUGAAGGCUUUUUAUUUAAAACUACUAGAUUCAAAAAAAAAAAAUUGAAUCUAGUAGUUUUAAAUAAAAAGAUUUAUCAAAUGUACUAAAAUGUCCUUUAAUAUUAUAAUCUUAAAGAUGAUAUGUGAAAAGUUGAACUUAAAAAGUUAUUAACAAAAUGAAAUGUUUUUUUUAAAAGUAAAUUUUUAAAUUUUUUAGGAUAAAUAAAUUAAAACGAAUGAAAUAAUAAUUAAGAACAAACAAUUGACCAAAAAGGUAAUCAAAAUUGCUUCAUAUGCAAAGAACUAACACAGAUUAAAGAAAUAAUAAUAUAUUUAUAAACUAAUUUAAACGAGCAAAGAAUUUGAAAUUACAAAAAAUCAGUAAAAUAUUCACAUGUUUGACCAAGAAACCCAUGAUAAAAGGAAGACAUGUAAAAUGGGUAGGUUGCAAUUACAACAACAUAAGUACAUUGAAUUUUAAUGGUAAGAAAUCACUGUCAGAAUUUUUAUCUUAUUAGUGAGCGUUUGAUUGUCGACCCCCUUAUAAUUCCCCUCGAUCCAAUUAAAAAAAAAUACACGACUUGAAUCUUUAGGGAUUUUUGAAGUUCUUGAAAUAAGUUUUCUAACGAGCUAUACCAAUAUGUAUAGUCAACACAAAUUAUUUCAACAAAAUGACUGCAUGCUUGUAAUGUAUCGAUAUUAUUUAAAUAAUAUAUAAUUGUAUAUAGAUAAUGUAUAACUAUAUAUUAGAGAUGAAUAUACAUCUAAAUAAUAUUAAGUACUCUCCCGCCGUUCAUUUUAUGUGUGUUAGUCUGACAAAAAAAAAAAGAGAAUUUAAAAAUAAAUAAGACUUUUUGACUUGCAAUUAAGGAGUUACUGAUUAUAAAUAGUAUUUUUUUAUUUUUUAUUUUUUUUUAAAAAUAACUAAACAUAAAAGUAAGACACAAAUUGAACCAUGGGAAGUAAUAUAAUAGUUAACAAUAUAAUUAGAAGAGAAAAAAAGGUAAGGACGAGAACGUUCCACCAAAUUAAUCAUUACAUAAAAUGAGCAUUCUUACCAUUAAGGAAUAUAUAGGGGAUUUUAACAAUAUAAUAAAUUUUAAUAACAAUCAAAAUAAAUAUUAUAUUUAAAUACAAAAGAUAUAGUAUACAUGCAAUACAAUAGGUAAGAACCAUCCAAACAACAUGUAAAGCAAAGUAGAAAAACUAGAACAUUUUAGUGUCUUCAGAAACAAGCACACCUACAAAUUGAACUUGAUCUAGUAAUGUAAGCAAUGAAAGAAUCCAUCUCUCUCUUAGAAUCCCCACCAAGAGUGAUGGAUUGUCUCACUUUUUUACUUAAUUCAACCAUAUUCUUCCUCACCUCAUUUCCUUCUGGGGAAGCCAUCAAUUUUCUUAGCGCGAUCUCAAUAGUUAUGGAUGUAAUUAACUCAUCACGUCGUUCCCAAUCCUUCACUGUGAUGCCAAUUUUGAGGACCUUUGUGACAAGCACUGCAAUCCUUGGAUGGUCAAAAAUCAUAGGCCAUGUGGCUAAUGGAACUCCCAUAGUAACAGACUCUUGUACAGAAUUCCACCCGCAGUGACUCAAGAAACCUCCUGUUGCUGAGUGCCCUAAGAUUUCCAAUUGGGGUGCCCAGUCCUUCACCACGAGCCCUCUUCCUUGUACUCUCUCUUCAUAACCUUUGGGAAUUUGAACUUGUUCGCCUUCUUUUAACAACACAUCACUCACUAUCCAAAUGAACUUGUGUUGACUCUUUUCCAACCCUAUAGCGAGCUCUUUGAUUUGCUCUGUGGAUAAGGAAGUUGUUGUUCCAAAUGACACUAAUAUUACAGAGUUUGGUUCUUGUUUGUCUAGCCAUUUCAAACACCCAUGACGAUUAAUGUUGUUUUGAUCAUCAUUUAUGGUCGCGAUUGAAAGUAAUGGACCUAUAGCCCAUUGCUUAGGGCUUCUUCUUAGUAACCUAUUGAACCUUGCAAGAACAUCGAUAUAAGGCCCCUCAAUCGCCUUGCAUGUGUAGUAAAGGUUUCCAGAGCAGAAUUUUUUAUACAAGUCUUGCCUUAUACUAAAGUCCAUAAACUCGGGUAUGAAACUACUUUGAUAGGACGGAAGAUUAUUGGGAAAUUCAAAUCCACUUGGGAGUAGAACUCUCGCGGCAAAUUUGCCAAUAAACAAGGGGAGAUGGAGUCGUAUUAGUUCCUCUUCCACAUACAUGGAACUUAUCAUAAAAGCAGACGAGGAGUUGAAACAAUAGGCCUCUGCAUUUGGUAUAGAAGCAACGUCUUCAACAACACUAGCCAUCAUAGAGUCAUAAAUGACUACUACCUUGCGUGUUUUUUUGGAAACCUCUUGUAAGAAUGCCCCCACAGGCUCGCGCAACAUAAGGGUUUCUUCAAGGAGGGGUAGUAUGAAUUUUUGUGACUCCCUUUCGGACAAAGAUUUAUUUGAAGAAUAUUGUUCACCAGAUGGUGGAUUUGGGAAUUCAUGGAAAUAGAUGUUGCAAGUGGUUAGAGGGUCCCAACCAUAAACACGAUUUUUAACUUGCUUAAUUUUGUCAGCGUAGGAAAGAUAAUAGAUUGGUAAAUUGUAGGAAGAAAUUACUCGAGAGAUAUUGAGGAGUUGAUUGAGAUGACCUUGUAAUAAAAAAGGUAUCAUCACUACAACUACUUCUUCUUCUUCGAUUCCAUUAAUUUGGCUGUGGUUUGAAGAAAAGGCAAUAUCAUACAUAGCCAUUUCAACAAAAGUUUGGUAUAUAGAUAAGCUAAUAUAUUAAUUCUUGAUGUGGCUUUUGCUGAGAAAACAUAUGGAAUCCAGCCCCUAUAAAUACAUUUACUAGUUGAUUAUAGAUCACGAGUUCAGACAAACAACUAACUAAAUAUCUCAACUCCAACAAUAACAAUAAUAAAUUACUCAAUGUAAUCCACAAAUAACAUCUAAAGAGGAUAGGACGAUGUACAUGCACAAACCACCACAUUUCUGAUAAUAUAAUAGUCAUACAAAUAUUAUGACGUAUUUAGUACGAUAAGUAUCAAAUUAAAGUCUUCAUUUAUAAAUUUUAACAUAUACUUCAAAAUGUUAAUAAUUUGGGACUCCAAUAUUAUAUAUAUACAAAAUAAAUGAUUGCGUAUUGCAAUGGAUAAUAUCAGAUUAUACGUAACAAUAUUUGCGGGAUUGCCUACCUGAUUUAGAUUACAUUUUCAAUGUUUUAUCAUAUUAUGUAUAAUAUUAUAAAGGGAAAAUGCAUAAGUACCCCAAUCUAUGCCCGAAAUCUCAGAAACACACUUAUAUUAUACUAAGGUCCUAUUACCCCCUCCCUCCCCAAACUUAUUUUAUAAGUAAUUUUCUAGCCCUUUCGUCUUACGUGGGCUAUAAGUACAUGACAUGUAUCUUUCAAAAUACUAUGUUUUAUUUUAUUUUAUCUAAUUAUAGUAAUUGAUAUAUAUAUUAAAUUUAUGACUUAAAAUAUUAAGUUUUUUAUUAGAAAAUAUUUAUAUCAAUUUCUAUGUCGGCCACGGCAUGUGAUCAAAGGAAAAAAAUUAAAAUUUAUUAUUUAACAACUAUUUGAUAUAAAUAACUAUUUUCAAUUUAUUUCUUUUAUGAAAAUAAUAUCAAAAUGGCGUUUCGAUGAAUAACUAAUUGCAUUUUACAUGUGAUCAAAGCAAAAAAAUUAAAAUGCAGAUAGUUAUUCAGCGACAAAACUGCAAAACUAUUUUUAUUCACUUACACUUUGGUGUCAGAUCACAUUCAAGCAACGGUCUAUAAUUACAAAUAUAAAGAUUUCUUUUACAAAUCUAAACAUAUUUCCUUGACUUCACAGAAGCAAUAGAUGAUACACACUGGUCAAAAAGAUAUAACUGAAAAAGAAUUAACCAAAAAUGAAAAGAUACUAAGGAAACACUACUAAAAAAACAGUGUUUAGCGACGGAUAUUAGCGACGAACAAUAUUCCGUCACUAUAUAACGACAGAUUUGCGACGGAAUAACCAUUUUGUUACAAAAUUAACAAAUUAUUUUUGAUUUAUAAUAUAGCAACAGAUUUGCAACGGAAUAUUUAAUCCGUCGCUAAUUAUUAGCGUGAAAAUUUGGCGCCUAAUUUUCCUUACGGAUUUAGCAACAAAGUAGUGGUGACAAAUUUAAUUAAUAUUGGGCAACGGAAUUAGUGACCAAAAAAAGGUUGCUAAACUAUUAAAUAUAUUUUUAUAAAAAUUAUAUUAUAUAGUGACGAAAAUAUCCGUCAAUAUAAUUUUUUCUUAAAUAUAUAUAUUUAUUUGAAAGCAACGGAUGUUAGAAUCCGUCACUAAGUCCGUUGCAAACUCCAAUUUCAGAUUUUAAUUACUCUCAUUUAAUCUCAUCCGUCCAUCAUGAUUCAUCAAACUCCAAGAGACAAUCUCAUCCGCUCAUCCGAAUUUGAUCAAUGGUCCUAAUUUAAGACCCUUGCUUUCUUAUUUUAUACAAAAGACCCCAAACCCUUAAUUUUUUUCAUUCUCCUCCUCUCCUCUCCAAAUCCGCCGCCCAGAACCCUUUUGCCCUCCUCUCCGUCCUUCUUUCUGGUCAGUGCAGCCUGGAGAACGAGCAGCGAACAACAAUGGAGACCUCCGGCAGGCGCGCGAAGACCACCAGUGAACCUCCAUCGCUGGCAGCAGCUCCAAACGAUGAGCAACCAGGCGGUCUCCGUCCGGCAACAGCAGCAACACAGAGAUUAUGCCACCAGUUUCCUCUCUCUCCGGCAAAAAACGACAGCAAUAUCAGUUUCACGCAGCAAGCAGAAAUGGUGAGCACCGAUAACAGCCAGCUCCAGCGAGCAACAUCAGCAAACGCCGGCGACACCCAGGAGAAGAUAACGACGCAGUUCCAAACGAACAGCAGUCGCUACCUCCGCCUUCUCUCUUUUCCGGCCAGCAACAACGACUCCAUGCGAGUUUGAGGAGGAUAACGGCAAGAGCAUUAAAGCUCCGGCCAACAGCUAUGAAUACGAAGAAACAAGUUAAAAGCUCCGGUAAAUUUUCUAAAUUAAGCUAAGGAUCCAUCUAGGUAGGUCCCUUUAAUGUCAUUCUAUUAACGCUUACUUGUUUAUAUACUUUUCUGUUAAAGUUUAAUUUAUUUGUUUAAGACUGCUUACUGUUAUCUUGUUACUCAUAUGCUUAACUGAUUAUUUCUAUCUAUUCAUUCAUUUUGGCGAUGGUCCGCUUUAAAUCCCUUUUUGUUAAUCAACUUGUUCCUUAUUCAAAUUAGAAAUAAUUUGUACGCAUAAUUUAAUCAUUGAUUUUUUUUGUUAAUUGAUAUGUUUGAUUUUGGAAAAUAAUUGGAGUAACUAGCUGAUUAUUAUUAGAAAAUGGCUUAAUUAUGGUAUAAUUUGAGUGAUUAAUGGAUUUGUUCAAAAUUGGUAUAUGAUUAUAAAUGGCAUAUGAUAUGCGUAUAUUUGUUUUUCCUUCUUUAGUUGGACAAUUUGAUCAUAAGUUGUAUAAUAGCUAGUUAUUUAUAGUAGUAUGAUUGGAUUUUGAUUCUUCUAACUAGCUUAUGGUAAGGUUUUGAGACUUCCAUUUUGAGAUAAAUUCCAGCUUAAUUCGGUAGGAAAUUAGGAGUAAUUUGUUAAUUGAUUGUAUUACCUUGUUAGCUUGCCUACCAACUAAUAUGUUAUGAUUUAAUGACUUUGUUGAUAACAUCUUGUAUGGCAAUUAUCUCCUUCUGCCUAAUGUGGUAUAAGAUGAUCGGAUAAAGCCUAUGAAACAGUAGUAAUCUUUCAUGACAUCAAGUUUGUGAAUAAUUGUAAGUGGUGCUUAUAGUUAUACUUCCUUUGGGAAAGUCUUUUACUUUUAUCUAUGAAUCUCACUUUUUCUCUUGUUGUAAUUUCCUUUAAGUGCUUGGUGUCAUCUCCUCUGCAUAGUGAGAAUGUUGAAUUAGCUAUUAUGUUCUCCAAAUUUGACAUUGAUUUUGUACUCACCUAAAAAACAGAAAAGCUAAAUGAACCAUGUUCAUCAGUUUCACCUUGCACCACACCAGUUUUCCAUUCUUUCAGCAAAUUAUCAACUAUGUCCCCAGCAGGAAGGUUAUGAAAAUUGGUAUCUGUUAAACACAUUUGAUAACGUCCAUUAGAAUGUAAUCCUGUCCAAAGCAUGAUUCCAUUUACACCUGGAUGUGAAAAUCCCUCUCUCAAAACCAUCUCUACAUAUUUAGCCUGUCAUCAUAUUCACAAAAAACUAUUAUCAUCAAAUCAUUAAUAAUACUUCCUCUGUAUCAAUGUGUUUGUCUGGUUUUGAUUUGACAUGUAGUUUAAGAAAGUAAAAAAAGCUUUUGAACCGAUUUUAUUGUUAUUGUAGGUGAAGUACCCUGAUCUGAAUUUCUUUAUCAAGAUUCUUGCUGAUAUCAACUUCUGUAAGCCAUAUAGGAAGUUUAAGUAUAGCCAAUUUGUCUAACACUGCUCUGAUAAGUGGAGGAUUUGGUACUGUAAAAUGUCCUUCUAGGCCAAUUCCUUCCAUUAUAAUUUUAUUCCUAAUCUUUAAUGUUCUCUUUAUCUUAAUUUAUUAUAGGAAAAAUAUGAAGAAAUAUUACAGAAAAAAACAACUUCUCAAUCUGAUAUUGAUCAAUGUGAAGCAUACUAUCAAGCUGCCGAGGGAGAAAAGAGCGAAGAAUAUACGGUCUUGAAUCUGAAGCAAGAACUUACUACGGGUAGAAUCUUUGUGCCUCGUCAUUUGUAGAACCUUCAGUUUCUCAAUCAACAUCGACAAGAAAUAUGGAUGUGUUUGUAAAGCAAAUGAUUUCUGCCCUUACUAAUCAUUUUCUUCCGGUUAUGAAGGAGCGGGUACAUCAAGUGCUCACUCCCAUUGAUUAGUCUUCUAUUUUUAUGUUGUCUGUCUUUUUAAAAGGUAUAAAUUGUGCGCUAACAAUAGUUGAUGAAUGUAGGUUCUCUUGAGAAUAGUUGACAAAUUGCUUUUGAUGUUUUCCACCAAAAGUAUGUGAUUUAGAUUUUGCUAUCUAUAGAUUUUGAACCCUCUAAAUAUUAUUUUAUAUGAAUGUUUGUAUUUAGAGGUAUUUAGUAAUUGUUAUUUAAUUUAUUUUACAAGAAAAUUAUUAGCAACAAAUUUAAUGAUGAUUUGGUCGUUGCUAUAAAAAAAUAUUGGCGACAGAUUAGCAACGAAACAUUUUAGUGACAUAAAUUUUGUCGCGAAUUUAUUUGAAAUGACGAAAUUAAUUAUGAAAUUAGCAACGAACUAUAUAAGUAUAAUGACGGAUCAGUACGUCACUAACAAAUGGCGACGAAUAUCAUUCGUCUCUAAUACGUCGCUAAACUUGCGACGAAACUCAUUUUUCGUCGCUAAGAGAUUACUAACGAGCGAAAUAGCAACAGCCAAAAAUCCGUCGCAAAUCUAUUGCAAAUCCGGCUUAGCGACGGAAAAUCAUAGAUUAGUGACGGAUUUCGUCAGUCGCUAAAUGCUGUUUUUUUUUGUAGUGAAAUAGAAUAACUUACAUCUAUUGAAGCACCACUCAUUUAAUCAUUAAAGGUUCUCCCAAUCAACAUUUAUGGUGGAAAUAUGAGCAAUUUUUGGUCAAUAGCCGUUGUUUGAGCAAUAGACGCUCCACACUGCUCGACAAGAUAUAAAAAAAAAGGAAAAGAAUUAGCUAAAAAGCAAUGUGAAGUAAACAAAAAUAAAAAGCUUCUCAAGGUAAAGAAUAACUUACAUUUGUCAGAGCACCAUUUGUUAUAAUCAUUACAAGUAUUUAUGAUCGAUCUCUAUGAUGGGAAUUUGAGCAAUGGGCAGCGGAAAAUAGUUAGUUUAGAGAUGGAAGAGGGCAUCCCUUUUACUGGAAGAAAUUGGAGGUCUCACGGAAGGAUUGAAGCAACAACAAUGAUACCAUAACAAUAUAUAUAAAAUUAAAUUGUGGUGCAACAAUAAUGAAUAUUAUGAUUUGAGAAAAAAUGAAUGGAAAAGGAAAAUAAAAAUAAAGAAUAAAAAAUAAUCGAAAAAAAGAAAAGGAGAGGAACAAGAAAUAAAGAAAUUGAAAAAUAAAAUUAAAAAUGCAAAAAUAAAAGGAACAAAUAUCGGAGAAAAAUGGGGAAAUUUGAGGGGAAAAAAGAGAAAAAUAAAUAAAUAAAUGAGAAAAAAAAGGAGUAUAUAAAAUAUAUUUUUUACUAAUUUUGAUUUUAAUAAAUAAGAUAGUGAUUUUUUAAAUUAUAUCUUGUUGUAAUCUAAUUAUUUAAUUUUCCUACAUUUUUAUUAGUCUAAAAAAAGUUAACUACUAUAUUUUAUUUUAUUUUUAAAAUAUAAAGGUAAAAAGGAAGAAAAUAUUUUUUCACAUGAAAAGAAAGGAUGAACCUUUCCCAAAAUAAAACAAAAAAGACAAAACACAAAAGAGCGCUGACGUCAUGUUGAGAAAAGAAAAAAUAGCUAUUUUAGGUAAUUAUUGAAGCGACAUCAAGGUAAAAGGAUAUGAAUAUGUAAUUAAUUUCCUGAUAUGGGGCAUGAGCUUAGUUUUGGUGUGAAAGACCUUAAAUCAGCCUAGUGCUAAAUAGGCCCUACAUACCUUAUCUAUUAUGCCAGUUGAGAGCUGCUAUUCAUACUUAACAAAUUGCUCUCUUUCUACACAUUCUUGAUAAAACAGAGAUGUCAUCAAGUGUUUGCUCAUCAACUUCCAUUUCUAAGUUCAUCUCAGAUCAACCAUAUCUUCAUAUGUUAGAAACCAAAUGUACCACUAUGACAGACCUCAAAAAGAUUCAUGCUCAUCUCAUAAAAAGUGGUCUAAUUAAGGAUAAAAUAGCAUCUAGCCGCGUUCUUGCGUUUUCAGCCAAGUCUCCACCCAUUGGUGACAUCAAUUAUGCAAACUUGGUUUUCACUCACAUAGAAAAUCCAAAUCUUUUCACUUGGAAUACUAUCAUUAGAGGUUUCUCAGAGAAUUCAACUCCGCAAUAUGCAAUUCAUCUCAUCAUUGAAAUGUUGAGCAGUUCACAAGUACAACCACACUUGCUUACUUAUCCUUCGAUUUUUAAGGCAUAUGCUCGAGGUGGUCUUGCAAAAAAUGGAGCUCAACUUCAUGGGAGAAUCAUCAAAUUAGGCCUAGAAUUUGACACAUUCAUAAGAAAUACUAUGUUGUAUAUGUAUGCAAGUUGUGGUUUUUUGGUUGAAGCAAGGAAAUUGUUUGAUGAGGAUGAGAUUGAGGAUGUUGUUUCUUGGAAUUCCAUGAUCAUGGGCUUAGCUAAAUCGGGAGAAAUCGAUGAUUCUUGGAGGUUGUUUAGUAAAAUGUCAACUAGAAAUGAUGUUUCUUGGAACAGUAUGAUAAGUGGUUUUGUUAGAAAUGGGAAGUGGAAUGAAGCAUUGGAACUAUUUAGCACAAUGCAAGAGGAAAAUAUUAAGCCUAGUGAAUUCACUUUGGUGAGCUUGUUGAAUGCUUGUGGACACUUAGGAGCACUUCAACAAGGGAAUUGGAUUUAUAAGUAUGUUAAGAAGAACAAUGUGGAGUUGAAUGUCAUUGUUGUUACUGCAAUAAUAGACAUGUAUUGCAAGUGUGGAAACGUUGAAAUGGCGUGGCAUGUUUUUAUAAGCAUCUCAAAUAAAGGGUUGUCUUCUUGGAACUCUAUGAUUUUGGGCUUAGCUACUAAUGGAUUUGAGGAUGAUGCGAUUAAGCUAUUCGCGAGGCUACAAUGCUCCAUUCUGAAACCGGAUUCUGUGAGUUUCAUCGGUGUACUAACCGCGUGCAAUCACUCCGGAUUGGUAGAUAGAGCUAAAUACUACUUCCAAUUAAUGAAAAAAGAAUAUGGUAUUGAACCAUCAAUCAAGCACUAUGGUUGUAUGGUCCGAUAUUCUUGGUCGAAGCAGGUACUAGUUGAAGAAGCCAGACGAGGUUAUAAGAAGUAUGAAAAUGGAACCUGAUGCUGUCAUAUGGUGUUCUUUGUUAUCGGCUUGUAGGAGCUACGGGAACAUGGAGUUGGCCAGAUGGUCAGCAGAGAAUUUGCUUGAGUUGGAUCCAAAUGAAAGCAGUGGCUAUGUAUUGAUGGCAAAUAUGUAUGCAGCCUCG
RNAcentral lists this long non-coding RNA (48503 nucleotides) under Solanum tuberosum (potato). RNAcentral describes it as "long non-coding RNA (STUB_LNC010887)". The record is from RNAcentral. Lineage: Eukaryota; Viridiplantae; Streptophyta; Magnoliopsida; Solanales; Solanaceae.